Molecule: long non-coding RNA, 55807 nt
Filed under: Gossypium barbadense (sea-island cotton)
Lineage: Eukaryota; Viridiplantae; Streptophyta; Magnoliopsida; Malvales; Malvaceae
Description: long non-coding RNA (GBAR_LNC021356)
Source: RNAcentral
UGCAAUCUCGUAUUGUUAAUCUUUUGAGGCUGGUGAGAUGUUGCAGGCACUCAUCUAGCGUGUAAGUGUCCAACCCCUCAAUGUUGUGUACAUCGAAAGAUUUCAUUUUGGAGAGUGGAAGAGAAGAGGUUGAAGUUGAUGGGGCCUUAGCAUUGAUGUUCAUCUUGAUAGUCUGCUUUAACGGCCUUGAACUGGUAUUCGACAACAUUAGAUCUUCACCGAGUGAUGGAUACAGUGGCAUUAAAGUCAAAGGGCAAUUUUGAAUUGUUAAAGAGGAAAGACAAGGAAAUGCCAUGGUUGAUGUUCCCAUAACUGUUGUGUCGUCCUCGUUGGAAUCAUCAUCGAUUGGUUUUGUCGUCCUCCACCAACUCUUCAUAUUUGGGCAAUCCUCGAGGUUAAGAAGCUUAAGCGAUGGGAAGAAUGAUUGUGGUUCUCCUUGACUUCCUUUUGGGCUAUUAUCAUCCAUGUACUCCAGCUUAGUACAAAACAUAAUAUCCAGCAGUUCAAGACAGGGCAAUUGAGCAAAGGACGGGAAAUAUUUGAAAUUACCACCACUUAUGAAAAUUUUGACGAGAUUUGUGAGCAAAGGAAGCCAACUUGGAAACUUGGCAUCACCCCUCCAUCCUCGAAUACAGAGCUCCUUUAGAUUAGGAUGGGGUUGGAGGUCUUCAAGUGAUUUAUCAUCAUCAUAUUCAUCAUCGUUAAAAUCAAAAUAAAAGCUCCAUUGUAAAACCAACGAUCUCAAAUGUUGCUUCUCAUUCAAAUUAGCAGCCUUAAACUUCUCUUUUGCAUUUUUUACGAAUCCCAAAUUUGCUAUUUCUAGAUGUCCCCUUAAGUUGUUAAGCAGUCUCAAUUCACUUAGAUCUGCACCGCCAUGGGACCCAUCUUUAUCCACUACAAACAUGCUUAACGUCUCAAGUGAAGUCAGCUUCCCUAUUCCACGUGGCAUAUGAGUUAAACUAAAACAAGCGUCACACCCAAUAUGGGUAAGCUUCACCAAUUUUUCAACCUUCUUUGGCAAUUCUUGAAGCCCACAACACCAGUCAAGUUUCAGCGCUAGCAAAUUCUGAAUCUUGCAAAUACUCUUUGGGAGAAUCUUGAUAUUGUAAUUGGAAGAAAGAUCAAGGUGCCUCAAAUGUUUCAACUUGUAAAUGGAGGGUGAAAUCAUCUGAAUACCUAACGAAUGCAAAUCCAAUACACGCAAGCAUCUACAAUUUGCAAUUAUCAAAUCCCAAGUUUCAUAGCUGAAAUCAUCACUCAAUUUUUGAUCUAUGUUGUCUUGAAAAUGUAACAAGGUUCGCAACUUCUUUCCCUUAAACGAAGGAAUUAAUGAAGGUUUAAUUGAUAUGUGGCGACAUUUUUCACCAACAUCACUUGCAAUUCUAUUUGAAUCUACAAUACCACUCUCCAUCCCUGCUACUGAUUCAGCUAGAUCAUGCAUUAAAUCAUGCAUUUUACAUGUUAGCCCUUCCCAUGAAUAUCUUUCUCCUACUUCUUGGAAGAAACUUCUUUCAACUAAAUCUUUAAAAUACCCAAACCCAAUCUCCUCCAGAGAUUGACUUUGAUUCAAUUGCUUUAUGAAACCCUCUGCAAUCCAAAAUUGAACAAGCGCUUGUACUUCAAUUCUGUAAUCUUUUGGAUACAAUCGGCAAUAAGCAAAGCAAUGCUUCAAAUGAGACGGGAGAUGAUCAUAACUCAAUUUCAGCAUAGGUAGAAGUUCUCCUUCAAUUUGUGAUAUUUUAGGAAGUUCAUUUUCAUUGAAAGAAUGCCACUCAUUUGCAGUUUUCUUCAAAGAUAAUGUACCAGCUAUCGUCCUUAUGGCUAAGGGAACCCCACCACACCUUUCCGAAAUCUGUCUCCCUACUUCCACAAAGGCUGAAUUUGUUGAGUCUGCAUAUCCUUGCUCAAAUGCUAUCUUUUUGAACAAAGACCAAGCAUCAUCAUCAGACAAGCCUUUCAAUUUCAAAACAUGGGAUUGACAUUUAUUAGUUAUCUCCGCUACCCUUAGAGAUCUAGUCGUUACUAUUAUCCUACUCCCUUUAGCCCCACCCAUCAAUAACUUCUUUAGCCUAGACCACCUUUCUGGGUCCUCAUUCCAAAUGUCAUCCAAAACAAGCAAAUAUUUUUUCCCAUCAAUUUUAUCUCGAAGUUGUUUUUGCAGUUGAUCCAUUUCAAGAUUUUGAUCAGGUGCUUGAUGAGUCACAGAUUUGAUAAUGUUUGCUACAAUAACUUUCACAUCAAAAUCAUCUGAAACACACGCAAACAUCGUUAAGUCAAAAUGAUUUUUGACCAUUUCAUGGUUAUAGACAAGUUGGGCCAAAGCAGUCUUCCCUAACCCUCCAAACCCCAAAAUUGGAAUGAUAAAAACAUUCUCUUCACUUUGAAACUCCAACACGAGUUUUAGAAGAGCUGCUUUAUCCUCGUCCCUCCCUAUUAUGUCAUCUUCACGCUCAAAAGAGUGCGUUUGCUGCCUCCUUUUAGUCAUGAAAGAGGUUUCCGCGGGGCGAUCACGCGGAAUGAAGCGAAAAGUGUUGGCCUCACUUUCAAUUGAAGCUAAUCUCGCCUUAAUGGCCUUCAUUUUCCGACCCAUUUUGAGACCAUAAGCAAAUUGGUUUGAGGUUGAGAAGAAAAGGCGUACCUCUUUCGUCAGCUUGUUCCCACCCGAUACAUCUUUCCGCAAAGCUUCAGUAGAGAAAUCAUCGAGCAAGUCGUCGGCAUCAUAAAGUACAUCUUUCAGAUCUAAUCAAGCCAACUUUGACGAGAUUGUCGGUCACCGAUUUCUCUUCUGCGUCAAGAAGCACAGCUUUGAUUUGACAGACAGUGCGUCUGAGGUCGUGGAUGUCAUGUUUUAGAUUCCACCACGGCCCAAGUUGAGAGAGAGCACGAGAGCUCAACUUAAUAAUGAGCUCUGCGGCAAUGUCGAAAGCAAUUGCUUCGGCCAUUGUUGGCUCAAACUGAAAUCAAGGCGAGAAGUGUUUGAUUAGUGAAAGAGGAGGACUAAAAUGAGAAUGAUUCCAACAAGAUGAAACACAGAUGUGGAUCCAUCCACCCAGCAAGUAGUAUAAUGAAAAAAAAAGUAAUGUUCAUUGGUGGGAAAUGGUCCCUCCAUGUGACACAAAUUUCUGAAGGGAGACAAAGUUGGGAUGAUGACACUUGGGGUGCUCUGCACAAUGUGGAGCCGUACAAAUAAUUGAAAUUAAUGAAAAAGCUAUGAAAGAAAAGAGAAAAAAGGAGACAAAUCCCAUGGAAUCCAGGGUGUUUUGAUUGAGGCACAUGCAUUCAAGUCUUUCUAAACCUUCUUCCCACUUACUUUGUGUAAUUGAGUGGGUCUGAAUACUCGGUUCUAACUUAAAUUUAAUAUUUUAUUUUUGAGGGUGAUUGCAGACUGUGAGAUACAACAUGAAGAUUGGGUUUAUGUCAGCUCCAUGGGAAUGUAUUUUAUUAUACCAUCAUGAAGAUUGCUUCCAGUGCUCAUAUCUAUUUAAUUAUUUUAAUACACAUAAAAUUGUUUAUUGUGAGUUGGAUGAUUUUGGUUUGUUUAUUUAAGAUAUUUUAUUUUUAAAUAUAUUCUUAAUUAUUUAUUUUACAUAUUUUAACUUAAUAUAUUUAAUAGUGAUUUUUUUUAAUAAAAAAAAGGACCCAAAGGUUACUACCUCAUUUUAAGUUGCAUCAUAAAUUACAAUGUUAUGGAUAUCGCUAUGAUAAUCAAUCUCAAAAGACAAAUUACAACACUUAGAAAGAGCCCAAUUACAAAGAGAAUCGGCUAAUUUGUUACAACCACGUUUCACCCAUUUGACCUUGGCGGAAACAAAAGAAUCAAGCAUAUUGUGAACUCCUUGAUGCAGUGAUCAAGGAUCGUUAUGUCCUUCUUGUCAAAACUGAAGCAGUUGACAAUACUAGCACAAUCUGUUUCAAAAAUGACGUUAUCGGCUUUAAGAAAUUGAGCAAGCUGAAAACCAUUUAUGAGGGCAUCUACUUCCGCUUUAAUAUUGAUUUUUUAUUCUCAUUUUAUCAGUAUAUUUACAUUUGAAUUCAAAUACAUAUUCUAUAAUUAACUUUAAUCUCACUGUUACAAUACUUAACCUCACUAAAUUACUUGUUUAACAUGAUUAUGGUGAAUUUAUAGAAAGAACAAUCACGAAGCAAAUGCAGAUGCACUUAUCUUUAAAGUGUUAUUAAUGGAAAUUUUAUUAUUUUGAAAAAUAAAAGUAUAAUAACUUUUUUGGCAUUCCAACUUUAUAAAAGAAUUAUUUUAUUAUUUUGAACUUACAUUUUUUUGUCAAACCAUCCAAAAUGGGUGAAAAAGUUAAUGUUUGUUAACUUUGUUGACAUGACAUAUAGGUGGAUUACCACGUGUAUGUCACGUUAGCAAUUAAUUAUUUUUAAAAAAUAUUAAAAAAUAUUUUCUUAUAAAUUUUUUAAUUUUUAAAAUAUUUUUUUGAAUUUUUUAAAAUUUAAAAAAUGAGUAAUUGCUUAUGUGACAUACACAUGGCAAUCAGCGUGUAUGUCACAUUAGCAAAAUUAAUAGACAUUAAUUUUUCACUCAUUUUGGGGUGAUUUGACAAAAAUUACAAGUCUAUGGACUAAAAGAAACGAAAAAUUAAAUGGAGAGAUGAAAUUACUUUUUCUCUAAAGUUGGAGACCAAAAUAAUCAUUAUGGCAAAAAAUAGUUGUUUUUCUUCUCUCUCUUUCUUUUUGGUAUUUUUUAGUGCUAAAAUUUAAGAUGGUGUGGAAUGUUUAUAAUCUUAUUAUUGUUAUAUAUGUUUUCGAUCUCAUUAGAGCUAAUCUCACUAUCUAUAUAAAGAGAGCCUAAAUAUAAUUUGUUUAGCUUCUUUUAAACAUGUUAGUGUUCCCUUGUAUGAUCAUUUACCUCCCGUGAGUAGGGUUGAGUAAAUUAAAUAAAAUAAAAUAAUUGAAAAUCGAUCCAAAUCAAGGUCUUUAGAUGGUUUUUGGAAUACUAAUUAACAAAUCACAAUUAUCCGAAACCAAACCAAAUUAUAUUCUUUAUUUAAUUUAUAAAUAAAUUUAUUUUUUAUAAUUUAAAAAUAAAUCUUUUAUAUUUAAAAAUAGUGAAAAUAAAUAAAUAAAUAUUUUUAUUUACUUAAAAAAAAUUUAAAAAAUAUCUAUGAAAUAAAUUUUGAAAAUUUGUCAAAUGAUAUUUAAAAGCCGUAAAAUAAAGUUUAUUUUAUUAAAAUAAUUAUAAAAAUUUAUAAUAAAAAUCAAACUAAACUAAAUUAUAAUGGAAAGACAAAAAAAUACAAUCGAAUUAAGCUAAGAUUUUCUUAAAAAAAUUAACUUGCAAUGAGAUUGUUUUCCUCACUAUAACCUUGUAGAGGUGUUAUAUAAGUACAUAUCAUAUGAUAAUUAUAAAUUUAAUAAUUUAAUUUUUUAAAAUUAAAUAUAUUACAAAUUAAUAUUUAUAUAAUGAUAUAUUAAAUACAUGUAAAUUUAUUAUCAUAAAUAUAUUUUUAAUUAUUAUUUAAUAUAAAUAAUUUUAUUAUAUUUUAUUAUUUUCAUUUAUAUAAAAUAUAGAAUUUUGAGUUUAUAAUAAUUUCAAAAAAUAUAUAAUUUUCAUAUUCAAAUUUUAUAUAAAUUAAAUCUAAAUAAGUAGAUAUGUAAUAAUAAAUAAAAAUUAAUAAAAAAUAUAUUUAUUAAUAAAUUUAUUAUUUACCAUGAUUGCAAAUUUAGUAUAUGUUAUAUUAUUUAAUGUUAAAUAUAAUCUUUCAUUUUACAAAUAUAAUUUAACAUCCUUAAUAAUCAAUUUAAGGUGAAAACACCUCUCUAGUCCCUUUCAAUUUUGAUAUCAUACAAAUUGGUCCUUCUAAAAAAUUUAGAGCAAUUUUAUCGUUAUUAAUUUUGAAAUUGAGCAACUAAGGAUAAUUAAUCACAACAUUAAUAUUUUUUGUCAUCUGUACACAUUUUUAUUGGUAUAAUAACAGCUUCAGCCCUAAAAGUUUACACAUUCUGUCAAUUUAGUUCUAGUUUAACAAAAUCAAUUUGCAACAUUUACACAUUAUGUAUGAACUGAAUUUGUUAUUAUACUAAUCAAAAUUAUAUACGAGUGACAAAAAAUAUUAACAUUAUUUUUAAUUGUCCUUAGUUCACCUUUGAAAUUGAUAAGGAUUAACUUGUUCCAUUUUUUAGAAAGGGCCCAUUUGCAAAAUAUUGAAUUUAAGAGGGAUCGAAGAGGUGUUUUUAUCCAUUUUUAGCCUCACCUCACUACUACAAUUGUUAUUGAAUCCAAAUAUAUAUCCAACACUGAUUAUUAUCACAUCACUACGGUAUUCAAUCUCACUAUUAUAACAACUAAUAUUACCACCAACGUUAUUUUUCAUUUCACUAGACUUGAUCCAAGUAUACAUCCAAAGAAAACCAUAAACUUAUCUAAAUACAAAUAAAACUAUAAAAAAACUUAUUUAGACAUAAAUUGAAAAUAUAAUUACUUGCUUGAGUUACACAUUUGUCCAAUUAUUCAAUUUGGUCAGAUUGAAGGUUAUUCUUUGAUAAGAUAUUAUUAUUAUUAUUAUUAUUAUUUGCUCUGGGCAAACUUAAUACAACUUGAUUUACUCUUUAUUAAUUAAAAUCAUUUUAUUUAUAUUUAAUUAUAAAAAUGUGUAAAUAUUAUUAAAACAUUAAUUUUUAAUAUUCAAUGAAUAGUGAAAUAGGGUCAACUUAUAAAGCUUAAAGUAUUUAGGAAGUCCCUAUAUUAUAGACUGUAUCAAAAUAGUCUAUUGAUUAUUAAACAGAUCAAAUUUAUUCUUGUAUUAUUAAAAAAGAAUCAAAUUAUAUCAAAUUGUAACAGAAUUAACAUUUAUUGUAACAGAAUUAAUAUUAACAGAGUUAACAAUUUUCAAUACAUUUUUAUGCAAUAAAUGUUAAUUUUGUUGUAAUUUGGUUUUAUUUGAUCAUUUUUAAUAAUACAGAGACUAAUUGACCAUUUAAUAAUAGAGGGACUAAUUUGAUGUAGUCCCUAUAAUACAGGUACUUUCACCCUUAUAUAUGUAUUUGAAUCUUAUUUUGGAUGAAAUUGAACAAUUGAAAAAGAUAAGAGUUCAAAAAGGUAAAAAUAAAUUGUAAUUACAUACAAAAUAAAUCUCCUAUUGUUUAUCUUUUGAGGCUGGUGAGAUGUUGCAGGCACUCAUCUAGCGUGUGAGUGUCCAACCCCUCUAUGUUGUGUACAUGGAAAGAUUUCAAUUUGGAGAGUGGAAGAGAAGAGGUUGAAGUUGAUGGGGCCUUAGCAUUGAUGUUCAUCUUGAUAGUCUGCUUUAACGGCCUUGAACUGGUAUUCCUCAACUCUAGCUUAUCAUCGAGUGAUGGAUACAGUGGCAUCAAAGUCAAAGGGCAAUUUACAAUCCAUAAAGAGGAAAGACAAGGAAAUGCCAUGGUUGAUGAUGUUCCCAUAACGGUUGUGUCGUCCUCGUUGGAAUCAUCAUCGAUUGGUUUUGUCGUCCUCCACCAACUCUUCAUAUUUGGGCAAUCCCGUAAGCAAAGAUACUUAAGCGAUGGGAAGAAUGAUUGUGGUUCUCCUUGACUUCCUUUUGGGCUAUUAUCAUCCAUGUACUCCAGCUUAGUACAAAAGCCAAUCUCCAGCAGUUCAAGACAGGGCAAUUGAGCAAAGGACGGGGGAUAUUUGAAAUUACCACCACUUAUGAAAAUUUUGACGAGAUUUGUGAGCAAAGAAAUCCAACUUGGAAACUCAGCAUCACCCCUCCAUCCUCCAAUAAAGAGCUCCUUGAGAUUAGAAUGGGGCUGGAGGUCUUCAAGUGACUUCUCAUUAUCAUGGUUACCACGGACCCAUAUUAAAACCAACGAUCUCAAAUGUUGCCUCUCUUUCAAAUUAGCAGCCUUAAACUUCUCUUUUGCAUUUUUUACGAAUCCACUUAAGUUGUCAAGCAGCCUCAAUUCACUUACAUCUGCACCGCCAUGGGACCCAUCUUUAUCCACUACAAACAUGCUUAACGUCUCAAGUGAAGUCAGCUUCCCUAUUCCACGUGGCAUAUGAGUUAAGCGAUUACAAUAACGACAAGAAAGAUGGGUAAGAUUCACCAAUUUUUCAAUCUUCUUUGGCAAUUCUUUAAGCCCAGUACACCAGUCAAGUUUCAGCGCUAGCAAAUUCUGAAUCUUGCAAAAACUCUUUGGGAGAAUCUUAAUAUUGUAAUUGGAAGAAAGAUCAAGGUAUCUCAAAUGUUUCAACUUACAAAUGGAGGGUGAAAUCUUUUGAAUACCUAUAGAAUUCAAUUUCAAUACACGCAAGCAUCUGCAAUUUGAAAUUAUAAAAUCCCAAGUUUCAUCACUCAAAUUUUGAUCUAUCUUGUUUGGAAAGUGUAACAAGGUUCGCAACUUCUUUCCCUUAAACAAAGGAAUUAAUGAAGGAGCAAUUGAUAUGUGGCGACAUUUUUCACCAACCUUGCUUGCAAUUUCAUUUGAGUCUACAAUACUACUCUCCGUCCCUGCUACUGAUUCAGCUAGAUCAUGCAUUAAAUCAUGCAUUUUACAUCUCAUAUUCCCAAUUCCAUAUUCUUCUACCUCUUGGAAGAAACUUCUUUCAACUAAAUCUUUAAAAUACCCAAACCCAAUCUCCUCGAGAGAUUGACUUUGAUUCAAUUGCUUUAUGAAACCCUGUGCAAUCCAAAAUUGAACAAGCGCUUGUACUUUAAUUUUGUAAUCUUUUGGAUACAAUCGGCAAUAAGCAAAGCAAUGCUUCAAAUGAGACGGAAGAUGAUCAUAACUCAAUUUCAGUAUAGGUAGAAGUUCUCCUUCAAUUUGUGAUAUUUUAGCAAGUUCAUUUUCUUUGAAAGAAUGCCACUCAUUUGCAGUUUUCUUCAAAGAUAAUAUACCAGCUAUCGUCCUUAUGGCUAAGGGAACCCCACCACACCUUUCCGAAAUCUGUCUCCCUACUUCCACAAAGGCUGAAUUUGUUGAGUCUGCAUAUCCUUGCUCAAAUGCUAUCUUUUUGAACAAAGACCAAGCAUCAUCAUCAGACAAGCCUUUCAAUUUCAAAACAUGGGAUUGACAUUUAUUAGUUAUCUCCGCUACCCUUAGAGAUCGAGUAGUUACUAUUAUCCUACUCCCUUUAGCCCCACCCAUCAAUAACUUCUUUAGCCUAGACCACCUUUCUGGGUCAUCAUUCCAAAUGUCAUCCAAAACAAGCAAAUAUUUUUUCCCAUCAAUUUUAUCUCGAAGUUGUUUUUGCAAUUGAUCCAUUUCAAGAUUUUGAUCAGGUGCUUGAUGAGUCACAGAUUUGAUAAUGUUUGCUACAAUAACUUUCACAUCAAAAUCAUCUGAAACACACGCAAACAUCGUUAAGUCAAAAUGAUUUUUGACCAUUUCAUGGUUAUAAACAAGUUGGGCCAAAGCAGUCUUCCAUAACCCUCCAAACCCCACAAUUGGAAUGAUAUAAACAUUCUCUUCACUUUGAAACUCCAACACGAGUUUUAGAAGAGCUGCUUUAUCAUCAUCCCUCCCUAUUAUGUCAUCUUCACGCUCAAAAGAGUGCGUUUGCUGCCUCACUUUCAAUUGAAGCUAAUCUCGCCUUAAUGGCCUUCAUUUUCCAACCCAUUUUGAGACCACAAACAAAUUGGUUUGAGGUUGAGAAGAAAAGGCGUACCUCUUUCGUCAACUUGUUCCCACCCGAUACAUCUUUCCGCAAAGCUUCAGUAGAGAAAUCAUCGAGCAAGUCGUCGGUAUCAUAAAGUACAUGUUUCAGCUCUUCAAGCCAAACUUUGACGAGAUUGUCGGUCACCGAUUUCUCUUCUGCGUCAAGAAGCACAGCUUUGAUUUGACAGACAGUGUGUUUGAGGUCGUGGAUGUCAUGUUUUAGAUUCCACCACAGCGCAACUUGAGAGAGAGCACGAGAGCUCAACUUAAUAAUGAGCUCUGUGGCAAUGUCGGAAGCAAUUGCUUCGGCCAUUGUUGGUUCAAACUUCAAACUGAAAUCAAGGCAAAAAGUGUUUGAUUCGUGAAAGAGGAGGACUAAAAUGAGAAUGAUUGGAACAAGAUAAAACACAGAUUCGAAGGCUUUGUUUUGAAAGUAAGAUUACACUGCACCUGUUCAUAGACUCGAAGGCUCCUUCGAAAUUCGGAAAGGUUUGGGCAAAAAAUAUUAAGCCCAAAAAUAGACUUGGGUAAAAAAAAAUAUGCUUCCUUAAAAUAUGGGUCGGGCUUGAGCUUGAACAUUUAAGGCAAAAGCUUGACCCAAUCCGAUCCGUUUUAAGUUUAUGUUAUUUUUAUAAAUUAUGUAAUUCAUAACACAUUAAAAAAAUAAAUAUAUAAUACUACUCUAAUGUAAACUUUUAAAAAAAUAUUAAGAUGACUAUAUAAAAAAUUUCAAUAAAUAAAAAAGUAUAAAAUUAUUAAAUAUUAAAAUAAUAUAAUAUAAAUAUUUUUAAAAAUUUUUAAAAAAACAAUAUGGGUGGGCCUAAAAUAGGCUUAGGUUAGUAUUUUACAAAUAUGUACGAGUUUGGACAAAAUUUUAAGUUUAGAUUUCGAGUUGGAUCGGGCCUGGACAAGCAUAAAGUAUAUUAAUAUCAUACUUAGACUUAACCCGAACCCAAUCAACCUAGCCCAUAAACACCUCUAAAAUACACUUUAAAAGAUAAUAUUUGGAUAAGGAUAAAAAUGUUUAAUGAUCUCAAAUUUCUCUACUUCUUCUCUAAAUCAUUCAUAAAAAGGAUGACAAUCAUUUCAUAAUUUUGGUACAAAAUUCCUCUUCAUUUAAAAUUAAACCAACAACAACCAAGUAAAAAAUUGCCAAUAUAAAAUCUUUCACUGCUCCAAACCUAUUAUUCAAACUCUUUUUUCCAACAUGACAUAAAAAUGUGUAACAUGUUAGAAUAAUUAGGUGUUAUUGUAUUAAUCUAAAACGAAAUCUGAUUAAGAGGUCUAAUUUGAAAAUAGUAUGUUUUAAUUAACGUUAGUUUUAAAUUCACAAAAUUAAGAUAGCCAUUUGUGUAAAACGAGUUUAGUAUUGAUAAUUGAUAUUUUAAAAAGAUCAAGCCACCUAUACGGUUAAUGUGAUCUCUUCAGCUCGGUUCUACUGUCUAGGCCGGGUUGAGAAGGUUACAGAAUAAGGUAAAAUUUCCAAUAAUAAAAUGAUGUUAUAGAAAGUGGUUGUUCUAUGAAUAGUAUGUGUCGGUAAUGUUGCCUAAUGCAUUAUUAUCUCUUUCUUCUUCUUUUUAGAUCCUUACAAUUUCCAUGGUAGUAAUGGAAGCAUAAGCAUGUAGAAGCAAUGGUGGCCAACAACAGGUGCAACACAAGGCAUUUCAUCAAAAGAUCGUAAAUGCUUAUAUUCCCAUUCACACUAUUCUAUUUAUCAUCAAAAGAUUCUUAAGGGUGAGUAGGAAUAUGGAUGCUUAACCAUUAAGCCAAACAUAUCGUAAGAUGAAGCUUCAAUUUUGGUUUGCUAACAAUCUUCUUUUUUGGAGGUCGUAGCAAUUACGACAAUUUUCAAUUUAUCCAUUUUGUGAUGAUUUUACAAAUAGUUCAAGUUUAUGAACUAAAUUGAUUUUUCAUAAAGUUGGAAGGUCAAAUAAAUAAUUAUGCUAAAAUAUAAUAGAUGAUUUAAAACCAAAUGAAAAUAUUUAUUUAUUAGAAUUUGAAGUUGCAAUUUCUUGAAAGUUUUUUUAAAAAUAAAGAUGUCUAUUUAUUUGUUUUCUUCACCAAAACUAUUCACAGCUUUAUCUUAAAAGAGAAAGAAAAAAGAAAUCUGAAGUAAAAAAAAAAAUGAGAAAAUAGUAAUCUUAAAGCUUGAUUCAAUCACUUUUUCCUUUUCUUUUUUUUUAAUUGAAAUGUUUUUUCCUCUACUGCAUCCUUAAAAAAAUAGAUCAAUAAAUAAUAAUUAAAAGGGUAAACUAUCAAAAUAGUCAUAUUUAUUUGCCUCAGGUUACAUUUUAGUCAGUGAGUCAUUAAUUGUUAUUAACGGUGUACCAGUAAGCUGAUGUGGCAAGUUAAAUCAUCAUUUCAAAUGAAAAUUUUAGGUUAAAUUCUAUAAUUGGUCCCUAUAUUUUUUCAUUUGAGCAACUUAAUUUUCUUUUAUGUUUAUUUAACUUCUUUUUUUUUCUUUAUUUUACUUUCUCUUCUGCUUCUCUCUCUGUUUUCCUCCCUUAUUCAUUUUUUUAACGUAAUUUUUCUAUGAUUUUCAUUUGUUAAAACUAGUCCCUAUACUUUAAUAAAUCAAUAAAUCAUAAUUAAAACACUAACUUUGAGUAAUAUAAUUUUUUUAACUUAAUAAAUUUUCAUUCCGGAACAAAUAUGAUUUCAAUUAAUAUAUAUAAUCAUUUAGGUGGAGCAAGGAAAUAAUUUUGAUUGGACUAAUAAUAUUAUACGAGUCAAUAAAACUCAUUGAAAUAUUAUUUCAAAUUGCAGAGUUGUAAGAUUAAAUUAGAUGUGAUCAUGGGUCGGGUUUAGACAUAAUAUUAACUCAUUUUAUAUUUCGUCCGUCAAAAUUUGAAUGUUCAUGCUUGGAAACCGUAACAAGAAGGAAAUAAUGAAGGAUUAAUUGGUAAGUGGAGAUAUUUUUCACCAUCCUUAAAUUUAAAGUUGUCAAAGAAAAUCUGUAGCGAAGAGUAGUAAUGGGAGCAUAAGCAUGUAGAAGCAAUAUUGGUGGGAUUUCAUCUUAUUAGCUGCUUUGGAAGAGGUUCUUAAGGAUGAGUAGGAAUAUGGAUGCUUAACCAUUCAGCUUAAUUCUCAUUAAGCUGUUUAAAAUUUUUGAAAAUUUUAAUUCCAAAUUUGACUUCAUUUAUUCUCUUAUAGUUAUAGUUUAUUUGAAUGCUUGGAACUAAGCUUUCACGUUGUUACAUUAUUGAAAAUUACUUGUAUUUUGAUAAGGAAAAUAAAGAGAAAAAUAACAAUUGAUUUUUUUAUCUAUUUUAUCUAUUUUAGAGUGAUUUGAAAAAUAAUACAAGUUUAAGGACUAAAUUAAUUUUAUAAGGAUGAUUAUAUAUUAAAGUUUGACAAUGAUUGUACAAAGCUAUUUUAUUCAUAACCAAGUCAAGAAAUUGUCACUCCACACAGUUGUCUACUUUUUCAAAAUCUACUUUAAAAGAUAGCACCUCCCCUUCUUCACAUCUUUGAAUAUAGUUCACAGUUUCGUUUUUACUGGAGCACGAUCCAGGAUUUAUCAAUCUGAAAUAAAAGUAAAAUUGAAUUUUAUCGAUUGUUCUGAGCCGAGCUUUGAAUCUAUAAAGUCAAAAUUUUUCAAUGGGGUUAGUGGACUUUACUUUAGUUUAAUUGAAAAUAGCUUUGAACAUAUAUAGACAUCUUUUCUCCCCUUGCUUGAGCUGUUGAACUAAACUAACUUUAUUCAUAUAAUAUUAAUUUUACCCAAAAUUUUCCGUUUCAACGAAAACAAAAUUCCUAAAAUACAAAAGUUAAUGGAAGAUAAAGAAGACAUUGGAUCUAGGUUUAGUUGUUUUGUAAUAAGCUAAAAGGGAUGCAGUUGUUGCAGGGCAUCCAUAUUUGUAUCCUCAACAUUUGGUAACUGAUGGGAGCUAUGCUAAACAUUCAACCAAUCAUUAGGUACUGAAACGUUUUCAUUAAAUGAUAGUCUUACAUAAUGUACACAAGAUUGCCUGAUAGUUAGUUGUGUUUCCAUGUGUUGGAUUAUUAUUUGAAACCCCAAAAGAGAAAAAUGUAUUUUUUUUUUUAAGAUGGCACACACAAAAGUAAAAAUAAAGGAGAAUAAAGAACACAACCAAGAUGUUUACGUAGUUCAGAACUCAUCCUACAUUUGUGAGCUUUGUCUAGAGAUAAAAUCGCUAUAAACUUUACAGUACAAUGAAAUUAUUUAUGCCCAACUCUCCAAACUUGGUGCAACCUCACCUUUGUACAAUUAAGUAAACACUCUUCCAACUUAGUGAAAAUCAACACUCAUAAGGUGGCACUCAACUAAUAGUUACUAACUAAAUGUUCCUUUUAAGUCCACAAAUCAUCAAUUUAUACAAGCUCCAAGAUCAGAUGAUGAAGAAUGCAUACAGAUUGAGUCUUCAACAAAGAAAAAAAGAAAAAGAAAGAACAAAUGUGCAUAGAGAGGAGGAUUUCAUGGGAGCACAAUGCCAUGGACAGAUCAGCUGAUGAAGAAUGCAUGUCCUGGUUUUUGGCUCUUCCAUUGAACUCAUGCUGAAAAAGAAGCAGCUUAGUUACGAGGUUAUAUUAGAUCAUUUGAAAUUAUGAGAUUAUUAUGAUUUUAAAAAUGUAAAGCAAUUAAGUAAUUACCACCUAUUUUUCUGCAUCUAAAUUCUUGAAGUUGUCAAAUGCCUUUCAGAAAAAUACAUGCCAAUCGAAUAUGUGGGCAGAUAAACAAAUGAGGGUAGAAAGUAUGAUCUCUGCUUUUUGUAUUGCAUGCUAUGCUCCGCCGAAGAAUAAAGCCAAAAGCUAACAAAAAUGAAGGGUAAAAAGAUUAAAAAUUUCAAGAUAAAACAUAAAAUUGUAUGUACAUAUGAUUAAGAUUUAAAUUAGGAAAAUGAACAAAGCAGAGCAUGAAGUAGAAGCAUAUUGAAGGCUGGCAUGCAAGCAUUUUGGAAAAUGCCCAUUGGGUACCAAUAAAGAUUUUUUAGAAUUAAAGUAUUAGAAGCUAUGAAAUGAUAGAUAUGAACCACCAAAAUGCUUCACACUACAUCUAAAUUAUUCAAUUUUGUUUUAUGGAAUCAAAUAGAAAAUAAAUGAGUGGCAUGAAUUACCUGUCAUUCCUUGUUGGUAUUUGGUGUAAGCUGCAAUUUCAAAUGUGUAUACACAUAUGGAUUUCAUCAGAUCAUUGCGAUGGUGAGAUUAAUAUAAUUUAAAAGCGUAAAGCAAUUAGCUAGAUUACCACUUUUUUUUUCUGCGUUUGAAUUCUUGAAAUUGCCAAAUUCGUUUCACUAAAAGUCUUCGAUGCUUACUGCACAAACUAGCCAAAUAAAAUGAUAAAUAAAGAAAUUGCACCAAAAGCUUGUUCUAUUUUGGCAAAAGAGGCUGUAGUUGGAGAGUCAAUAUACCAACCUGUAGCGAUCUGAGCAAUAUUAUGCCAAUCGGCACCAAUCCCCUUUCGAUAUCUUUCCUCCAACUGAGGAAUUCGUUUCAUAAAGAACUCUUCCAAACUGGUUCUCGUCCGGAAGCGAUGUUAAAUUAGGCAAAUAAGAGAGAAUAAGCCUUGGAAGAUUUGUUCGAUGUUGAAGCCACUCCGGAAGAUGGCGACACUUUAGAAUCUUUGCCAGCGUUAGAGAGCGCAGGCUUAUAUGAUCUUGGAAUAUUUGGAAGUUAGGUGCAGAUAACUCCAGCUCCUUGCAGUUACUUAUUGCAUGCCCUCUAAAUCAACCUCCUUGCAAUCUCCUAUUGUCAAUUUUUUGAGGCCGGUGAAAACAGAUUAAUGGAAACCAUGUAGUUUUCAAAGGUGAAUAAAUAAGGAAAAUUAAGAUCGGUGUUAACAAUUUUUACUAAUAUUUUGAAAACAUUUUAAAACAUUUUAAAUAAUAUUUUAGCUAACCAAAUUAAAAAUUGUACCCUAACCAAAUUAUAGACAAGUGUAUUUGAUUAAUUUAAAAAAAAAUUAUUUUAGCUUAUAUAAGGGUUAAAAUAUUUGGAAAGUUUAAAAUUAGUCCCUCUAUUAUUAAAUGGACCAAUUUUAUCCCAAUACUACUAAAAAGAACUAAAUAAGGUUAAAUUGUAACAGAUUUAACAUUAAUAGAAUUAACAAAUUUCAAUAUAUUUUUUAUAAAAUAAACCUUGAAUUUGUUAUAAUUUAACUUUAUUUGAUCAAUUUUAAUAGUACAGGUAAUAAAUUAAUAGCAUUAACAAAUUUCAAUAUAUUUUUUAUAAAAUAAAUGUUUUGCCUUUGAUGGAUGUUUGAAAAAUGAUUCAGUUGACAUCCAUAAUGUCUAUCACUAUAGUUUCCCCCUUAUGUAGAAUAUGACUGCUAGUUUGUCAGGCAAAAUUAUGUUCGUAUAUUAUGUUCUUUUUCUUAUUGUCUUCAACACGAUAACAAGUGAAUUACUAGUUACUUUACUUGAUUUUGUCAUGCCAUUUAUCUCUUUGAGUUUUGGCCUUUCUGAAUUAACUUUUGAAUCACGUAGUGAAGCAUUUCUGAUGGUUCUUAUGACUAACAGUAGGCUUUCUUAUCCAAGCUCUCCUACAUAUGCAUUUCUUAAACUUAUGCUCUUUUCUUCAUUUCAGUUGGUUGUUAAUCUUGAUAUAACCAUGCACAAAUACUAAUACUAAGGGACCUUGUAAUUUUGCCUGCCAUUGGAACUAUUCUGAAAUAUUGCUGAUUUUUCUCAGCAAUUAAAGAGGAAGAGCGCAGCAGACAAAAAUGAAGUUGAGUCUAGCCAACAUAAUACAAGAUGUGUUAUUCAACUUGUAGUUUGAUGUGUGCCAACAUAAGCAUCAACACACAAGUCAUACAUAUAAACAGCCAGGAAACCGACAUCUUUUGGAAGAGUCCUAAUCCAAGCAUCAUAAUUGAACAUAGUCUUGGAAUACUGUCUAAAAAAAUGGUUGUCUCAUCAUCAAUUGUGCAUCCCUGCAUUUGAAUGCUGUUUCGAACACUAAAAAAACAUAAAUGUGUUUUUUCUGAGUUGACACGUAUUAUGCAACAAGGAAAACAAAGAGCACAAUUAAGAUGUUUACACAGUUCAAAACUAGUCCUACAUCUGCGGCGCCUUACCCAAAGAUGAAUACACUAUGAACUUCAUAGUACAAAGAAAUGAUUUAAGCCCAACCCCUCUAACACUUGAUGCAAUCUCAACUUCAACCUCACCACCAAAUAUUCUGAAGCAUCUUCCUUUUUUUCCUGUUUGGACCUUCAAAAUAACAAACUUGGCUGGAACUCCAAACAGCUAAAAGAGUACCCUACAUCAAUAAAUAUUAUGAAUUUGAAUACCUCCAAAAGCCUGUCAAUAUCACAGGUACCAUCUAAGAUAGUAAUCAGCUGGCAUAUAUUAAGAGAAAAUAUAAAUAUAUAUAAAGAUGUGAUAGGUAAGUACUUAAAUGAAGAAAGCAGAGCAUAUAGUACAACCAUUUUGAAGGCUUCAUAGGCCUCUCUCUCCACAUCAAUGAUUUUUUAGAAUUAAAUUAUUAGAAGCAAUUGUCAAGUUAUUAUUAUGAUUUAAAAGUAAAAAGCAAAUAGAUAAAUUAGUACCUCUUUUUAUGCAUAUAAAAUGAUUGAAGUUGACUAAUGCCUUUCUCCAAUGCCUUACUGCACAAAUCACCAAAAAUACUAUGAAAGAUGAUAAGUAAAAAGUAGGAUUAAAACAAAGGGAUUUUAACAAGGAAGUUAACAGUAUCCAACUUCAAUGAAAAAUGGCAUCCAGACCCCUGACUUGGAGAUUCAAUAUACCACUCUUAUUUUUCUUCAAAAAAAAGAUAAGGUCAUCAAAAUAAAUAAAUAACAAAGAUAGACCAACCUGAUACAACCGAAUGUCGGGGAUGUGAGCAAUCUUUUGCCAAUCAGCGCCAAUGUCCUUCCGACAUCUUUCCUUCAACUGAGGAAUUUCUUGUACUUGUAAAUACUCCAAACUGGUUAGGCAACGCAUCUCGUCCGGAAGAGAUGUUAAAUUGGGCAAAUUAACGAGAUAAAGCCGUUGCAGAUUUGUUAGAUGUUGAAGCCACUCCGGAAGAUGCCGACACUUUGGAAUAUAUUCCAGCCGUAGAGAGCGUAGGCUUGUAUGAUCUUGGAAUAUUUGGAUGCCAGCUCCAGAUAACUCCAGCUCCUCGCAGUUCCUUACUUCAAACUCUUCAAGGAAAGUGAGAUGUUGGAACACAGGAAGCAGUGACCUCAAUCCAUUCCAGUUAUGAAUUUUUAAUGUUUUCAAUUGAACAAGAUGUUGAAGCCAAAUGGGGAGAGACACCAGCUUUGGAAUAUUAUAAAUCUCCAAAUGAGAGAGAUUCUUAAGGGGUUCCCAUUGCAUGCCCUCUAAAUCAACCACCUUGCAAUCUCCUAUUGUUAAUCUUUUGAGGCUGGUGAGAUGUUGCAGGCACUCAUCUAGCGUGUGAGUGUCCAACCCCUCAAUGUUGUGUACAUGGAAAGAUUUCAGUUUGGAGAGUGGAAGAGAAGAGGUUGAAGUUGAUGGGGCCUUAGCAUUGAUGUUCAUCUUGAUAGUCUGCUUUAACGGCCUUGAACUGGUAUUCCUCAACUCUAGCUUAUCAUCGAGUGAUGGAUACAGUGGCAUCAAAGUCAAAGGGCAAUUUACAAUCCGUAAAGAGGAAAGACAAGGAAAUGCCAUGAUUGAUGUUCCAAUAACUGUUGUGUCGUCCUCGUUGGAAUCAUCAUCGAUUGGUUUUGUCAUCCUCCACCAACUCUUCAUAUUCGGACAGUCCCAGAGCGAAAGAUGCUUAAGUGAUGGGAAGAAUGAUUGUGGUUCUCCUUGACUUCCUUUUAGGCUAUUAUCAUCCAUGUACUCCAGCUUAGUACAACGCUCAAUCUUCAGCAGUUCAAGACAGGGCAAUUGAGCAAAGGACGGCAAAUAUUUGAAAUUAUCACCGCUUAUGAAAAUUUUGACGAGAUUUGUGAGCAAAGGAAGCCAACUUGGAAACUUGGCCUUGCCCCUCCAUCCUGCAAUACAGAGCUCCUUGAGAUUAGGAUGGGGCUGGAGGUCUUCAAGCGACUUCUCAUCGUCAUCAUCAAAACGAAGGCUCCAUUCUAAAAGCAACGAUCUCAAAUGUUGCUUCUCUUUCAAAUUAGCAGCCUUAAACUUCUCUUUUGCAUUUUUUACGAAUCCCAAAUUUCUUAUUCUUAACUCUCCCCUUAAGUUGCUAAGCAGUCUCAAUUCACUUAGAUCUGCACCGCCAUGGGACCCAUCUUCAUCCACUACAAGCAUGCUUAACGUCUCAAGUGAAGUCAGCUUCCCUAUUCCACGUGGCAUAUGAGUUAAUUCCCAACAAUCUUUACACCUAAGAUGGGUAAGAUUCACCAAUUUUUCAAUCUUCUUCGGCAAUUCUUUAAGCCCAGUACACCAGUCAAGUUUCAGCGCUAGCAAAUUCUGAAUCUUGCAAAUACUCUUUGGGAGAAUCCUAACGGGAUUCUCAGAAAGAUCAAGGUACCUCAAAUGUUUCAACUUACAAAUGGAGGGUGAAAUCUUAUGAAUACCUAUAGAAUUCAAUUUCAAUACACGCAAGCAUCUGCAAUUUGCAAUUAUCAAAUCCCAAGUUUCAUAGCUGAAAUCUUGACUUAAUCCGUAUUGAAAAUGUAACAAGGUUCGCAACUUCUUUCCCUUAAACAAAGGAAUUAACGAAGGAUUAAUUGAUAUGUGGCGACAUUUUUCACCAACAUCACUUGCAAUUUUAUUUGAAUCUACAAUACUACUCUCCAUCCCUGCUACUGAUUCAGCUAGAUCAUGCAUUAAAUCAUGCAUUUUACAUGUCAUAUUCCCAAUUCCAUAUUCUUCUACCUCUUGAAAGAAACUUCUUUCAACUAAAUCUUUAAAAUACCCAAACCCGAUCUCCUCCAGAGAUUGACUUUGAUUCAAUUGCUUUAUGAAACCCUGUGCAAUCCAAAAUUGAACAAGCGCUUGUACUUGAAUUGUGUAAUCUGUUGGAUACAAUCGGCAAUAAGCAAAGCAAUGCUUCAAAUGAGACGGGAGAUGAUCAUAACUCAAUUUCAGUAUAGGUAGAAUUUCUCCUUCAAUUUGUGAAAUUUUAGCAAGUUCAUUUUCUUUGAAAGAAUGCCACUCAUUUGCAGUUUUCUUCAAAGAUAAUGUACCAGCUAUCGUCCUUAUGGCUAAGGGAACCCCACCACACCUUUCCGAAAUCUGUCUCCCCACUUCCACAAAGGCUGAAUUUGUUGAGUCUGCAUAUCCUUGCUCAAAUGCUAUCUUUUUGAACAAAGACCAAGCAUCAUCACCAGACAAGCCUUUCAAUUUCAAAACAUGGGAUUGACAUUUAUUAGUUAUCUCCGCUACCCUUAGAGAUCGAGUAGUUACUAUUAUCCUACUCCCUUUAGCCCCACCCAUCAAUAACUUCUUUAGCCUAGACCACCUUUCUGGGUCCUCAUUCCAAAUGUCAUCCAAAACAAGCAAAUAUUUUUUCCCAUCAAUUUUAUCUCGAAGUUGUUUUUGCAAUUGAUCCAUUUCAAGAUUUUGAUCAGGUGCUUGAUGAGUCACAGAUUUGAUAAUGUUUGCAACAAUAACUUUCACAUCAAAUUCAUCUGAAACACACGCAAACAUCGUUAAGUCAAAAUGAUUUUUGACCAUUUCAUGGUUAUAGACAAGUUGGGCCAAAGCAGUCUUCCCUAACCCUCCAAACCCCACAAUUGGAAUGAUAUAAACAUUCUCUUCACUUUGAAACUCCAACACGAGUUUUAGAAGAGCUGCUUUAUCAUCAUCCCUCCCUAUUAUGUCAUCUUCACGCUCAAAAGAGUGCGUUUGCUGCCUCCUUUUAGUCAUGAAAGAGGUUUCCGCGGGGCGAUCACGUGGAAUGAAGCCAAAAGUGUUGGCCCCACUUUCAAUUGAAGCUAAUCUCGCCUUAAUGGCCUUCAUUUUCCGACCCAUUUUGAGACCAUAAGCAAAUUGGUUUGAGGUUGAGAAGAAAAGGCGUACCUCUUUCGUCAGCUUGUUCCCACCCGACAGAUUUUUCCGCAAAGCUUCAGUAGAGAAAUCAUCGAGCAAGUCGUCGGCAUCAUAAAGUACAUGUUUCAGCUCUUCAAGCCAAACUUUGACGAGAUUGUCGGUCACCGAUUUCUCUUCAGCAUCAAGAAGCAAAGCUUUGAUUUGACAGACAGUGCGUCUGAGGUCGUGGAUGUCAUGUUUGAGAUUCCACCACAGCCCAACUUGAGAGAGAGCACGAGAGCUCAACUUAAUAAUGAGCUCUGCGGCAAUGUCGGAAGCAAUUGCUUCGGCCAUUGUUGGUUCGAACUGAAAUCAAGGCAAAAAGUGUUUGAUUCGUGAGAGAGGAGGACUAAAAUGAGAACAAUCCCAGCAAGAUGAAACACAGAUGUGGAUCCAUCCACCCAGCAAGUAGUAUAAUUAAAUAAAAAGUAAUGUUGAUUGGUGGGAAAUGGUCCCUCCAUGUUUACUGUUUGACACAAAUUUCUGAAUGGAGACAAAGUUGAGAUGAUGACACUAGGGGUGCUCUGCACAACGUACAAAUAAUUGAAAUUAAUGAAAAAGCUAUGAAAGAAAAGAGAAAAAGGAGACAAAUCCCAUGGAAUCCAAGGUGUUUUGAUUGACGCCAAUGCAUUCUGGUCUUUCUAAGGAUGGGUUUGGAUGGGCGAUUGGGUGCGGUGCGGUGCGUUUAACUUACUUUUGGUGUCACGCUACAGUAUCGCUACAGUAUUUAAUCUCACCACCACCUCUGUUUUUACACUAUCCACAGAUAAACGCACCGCCAAUCCAAACUCAUCCUAAACCUUCUUCCCACUUACUUUUGUGUAAUUGAGUGAGUCUCAAUACUCGGUUCUAACUUAAAUUUAAUAUUUUAUUUUUGAGUUUAACUUCGGUUAAAUAUAUAAAAUUAAAAUUAAAAUUCAUUGGCCAUUAGAAUCAAAUAUUAUUAAAUUCGAAUAUGAUUAAAUCAAUAAUUUAAACAUAACUUAUUGACUACUAAAUCAAAUUUAAAUCUUUUUCGAAUCGAAUUUAAUUAACUUACAAAUAUGAUUAUCAUGUCCUCCUUGUGAAAACUAAAGCAGUUGACAGUGCUAGUACAAUCUGCUUCAAAAAUGACAUUAUCGACUUUAAGAAAUUGAGCAAGCCGAAAACCAUCGAUGAGGGCAUCUAAUUCUGCUUUAAUAGUGAUUUUUUAUUCUCAUUUUAUCGGUAUAUUUACAUUUGAAUUCAAAUACAUAUUCUAUAAUUAACUUUAAUCUCACUGUUACAAUACUUAACCUCACUAAAUUACUUGUUUAACAUAAUUAUGGUGAAUUUAUAGAAAGAACAAUCACGAAGCAAAUGUAGAUGCACUUAUGUUUAAAAUGUUAUUAAUGAAAAUUUUAUUAUUUUAAAAAAUAAAAGUAUAAUAACUUUUUUGGCAUUCUAACUUUAUAAAAGAAUUAUUUUAGCUCUCUAUUUAUUUUCCUUCUUUUUUAGUCUUUCAUUUUACAUUUUUUUGUCAAACCAUCCAAAAUGGGUGAAAAAGUUGACGUUAAUUAACUUUGUUGACAUGACAUAUAGGUAGAUUACCACGUGUAUGUCACUUUAGCAAUUAAUUAUUUAAAAAAUAUUAAAAAAAUAUUUUCUUAUAAAUUUUAAAAUAUUUUUUAAAUUUUUUUAAAAUUUUAAAAAAUAUUUUAUUGCUUAUGUGGCAUAUACGUGGCAAUCUGCGUGUAUGUCACAUCAGUAAAAUCAAUGGACGUUAAUUUUUCACUCAUUUUGAAGUGAUUUGACAAAAUUUACAAGUUUAAGAACUAAAAGAAACGAAAAAUUAAAUGGAGAGUUAAAAUGACUUUUUCUAUAAAGUUGGAGACCAAAAGAAUCAUUAUGGCAAAAAAUAGUUGUCUUUCAUCUCUCUCUCUCUCUCUUUUUUGGUUAUUUUUUAGUGUUAAAAUUCAAGAUGGUAUGGAAUAGUUUUUAAUCUUAUUAUUGUUAUAUAUAUAUAUAUAUAUAUAUAUAUAUAUAUAUUUUCGAUCUCAUUAGAGUUAAUCUCACUGUCAAUAUAAAGAGAGCCUAAAUAUAAUUUGUUCAUCUUCUUUUAAACAUGUUAGUGCUCCUUUGUAUGAUCAUUUACCUCCUGUAAGUAGGAUUGAGUAAAUAAAAUAAUUAAAAAUCGAUUCAAAUCAAGGUGUUUAGACGGUUUACAGAAUACAAAUUAAAAAAUCACAAUUAUCCGAAACUAAAUCAAAUUCUAUUUUUUAUUUAAUUUAUAAAUAAAUUUAUUUUUUAUAAUAUAAAAAUAAAUCUUUUAUAUUUAAAAAUAGUGAAAAUAAAUAUAUUUUAAAAAUAUUAUAUAAAAGUAUUUGAUUAUUUUUAUUUACUUAGAAAAAAUUUAAAAAUAUCUUUGAUAUAAACUUUCAAAAUUUUUCAAAUGAUAUUUAAAAACUGUAAAAAAAAAGUUUAUUUCAUGAAAAUAAUUAUAAAAAUUUAUAAUAAAACUUUGAACUAAACUAAAUUAUAAUGGACGGAUUAAAAAAUAGAAUCGAAUUAAACAAAUAUCACUUGAUUUUAUUGCACUAAACUGGACAUAAAAGAUUUUCUUAAAAAAUUUAACCUGCAAUGAGAUUGUUUUUCUCACUAUAACCUUCUAGAGGUGUUAUAUAAGUACAUACCAUUGAUAAUUAUAAAUUUAAUUAUUUAAUUGUUAUAAAAAUUAAAUAUAUUACAAAUUAAUAUUUAUAUAAUGAUAUAUUGAAUACAUGUAAAUUUAUUAUCAUAAAUAUAUUUUUAAUUAUUAUUUAAUAUAAAUAAUUUUAUUAUAUUUUAUUAUUUUCAUUUAUAUAAAAUAUAGAAUUUUAAGUUUAUAAUAAUUUCAAAAAAUAUAUAAUUUUCAUAAUCAAAUUUUAUAUGAAUUAAAUCUAAAUAAGUAGAUAUGUAAUAAUCAAUAAAAAAUUAAUAAAAAUAUAUUUAUUAAUAAAUUUAUUAUUUACCAUGAUUGCAAAUUUAGUAUAUAUUAUAUUAUUUAGUGUUAAAUAUAAUCUUUCAUUUUACAAAUAUAAUUUAACAUCCUUAAUAAUCAAUUUAAGGUGAAAACACCUCUCUAGUCCCUUUCAAUUUUGAUAUCAAGCAAAUUGGUCCUUUUAAAAAAUUUAGAACAAUUUUAUCAUUGUUAAUUUUGAAAUUGAGCAACUAAGGAUAAUUAAUCACAACGUUAAUAUUUUUGUCAUCUAUACAUAAUUUUAUAGGUAUAAUAACAACUUUAGCCCUAAAAUUUUACACAUUUUGUCAAUUUAGUUCUAGUUUAACAAAAUCAAAUUGCAACAUUUACACAUUAUGUACGAACUGAAUUUGUUAUUAUACUAAUCAAAAUUAUAUACGAGAGACAAAAAAAUAUUAACAUUAUUGUUAAUUGUCCUUAGUUCACUUUUGAAAUUGAUAGGGAUUAAAUUGCUCCAUUUUUUUAGAGGGGCCAAUUUGCAAAAUAUUGAAUUUAAGAGGGAUUGAAGAGGUGUUUUUAUCCAUUUUUAACCUCACCUCACUACUACAAUUGUUAUUGAAUCCAAAUAUAUAUCCAACACUGAUUAUUGUCACAUCACUAACGUAUUCAAUCUCACUAUUACAACAACUAAUUUUACCACCAACGUUAUUUUUAAUUUCUUUAGAAUUCAUCCAAUUAUACAUCCAAAGAAAACCAUAAACUUAUCUAAAUAAUUGUUAUAAAAAUUAAAUAUAUUACAAAUUAAUAUUUAUAUAAUGAAUACAUGUAAAUUUAUUAUCAUAAAUAUAUUAUUCAUUGAAUAUUAUUAUACGUGAUUUUAUAUAUUUAUUUUUUAUUCACUGAAUAAUAUAUUUUUAUUUUAUGUAAUUAAUACAAAUAUAAUAUUAUUCAAAUUGUGGUACAUAAUUAAAAUAGUGUAACAAUAAAAAAUUCAAACAUAAAAGUUUGGAAGUAAAUAAUAAUGAAAUAAAAUUUUUAGUGAUUUUAACUACUAAUUUAAUAAAAAAUUAAAACAUACUAUUCUUAUGUAUAAUUUAUAAUUUAAUAUAAAAUAUAAUUUUAAUUAUUUUUAAUAUAAACAUAGUUUUGAUAUUUUUAAUUAUUAUUUAAAAUAUUUUAUUAUAAUAUAUAAAUUAAUAUAUAUAUAAUAUAAAAAUCUAUAAAAGAAUUCCAAAUUUCAAUUAUUAUAAUAUAAAUUUUAUAUCUAAAAAUCCUGAAUUAAAUUAAAUUAAUUCAAUUGAAUUGGACAAACAAAUUCGACCGAAAAUCAUUUGAUAUGAUUGGUUGGAUUACCAAUCUAAUUUUAAAAACCUUGACCAGGACAACAUCAAUAUGUGAAUUUGUUUAAUAUUGUUUAUUUAAUAAGUCUAAAUUUUGAGCAUCUAAAAUGUUAAUAAAAUCUUAUUUCUAAUUAUUUUCAUACAUUGAAUAUGUCAUUUCACUUUGUUAGAACUUGUUUAAAAGAAUAUUGUAUGCUUCAAUGGAAGUCACAAUUUUACGGAAAAAUUUCGUAAAAAUUUCGUUCGAAAAUUUCGACGUUUGGGCACUCAAUUUAGUCAAAAGGACUAAAUUGUAAAAAGUGCCAAAGUUGAGUUCUACAUGUUAGAAGUGUCUAAUUGUUAUGAGAUUAUAAGUUGGGGGUCCUUAUGUGGUAAUUAGACCAUUAGUUAAUUUAUGGACAAAAAUAGACAUAAGAAAUGGGUGAAAUAUAUAUUUUUUAAGUAGGGGCAUUUUAGUCAUUUGGUAAUAAAAAGAAUAAAAUGGGAAAAAGAUGACAAAAAUCAUCAUCUUCUCCAUAAGUUGCUGUCAAAUUUGAAGAGUCACCAUAGCUAGGGUUUCUUCACUUUCUCAAGCUCAUAGUAAGUGCAUCCUAGCCCUGUUUUUAAUGUUCUUCGCAUUUUUGGAAUCCUCGUAGCUCGGUUUAGCUUAUUCUAUCAAUAAUUCAUGUUAGGGUUCAUAUUUGGAAAAAUAUCCAUAGGUGAAAUGUGUUUAUUUUUCUGUUUUAUGGUAGAAUAUGAAGCUAGAAAUUAUGUUAAACAACUUUUGCUAAGUGAUUUUAAGCAAAAACGAGUAAAUCGACAUAAUCGGUAAAAAUAUUUAUUGUUCAUAAGUGUAUGUUAGAGUGAGAAUUUGAUGUUGCCAUAGAAGGGAAAAGUGUUCAGCAUGUUGUAAAACAUAAGAAUAAGGUGUGAAAUUUAAUUUUCGAGCUUGGGGACAAAAAUGUAAUUAUGCAAAAGUUUAGGGGCAAAAUUGUAAUUUUAUAAAAGUUGAGUCGAAGCUUGUUUUAAUAAAUGUGAAUAUUAAACAAGCUCAAUUUUCUGUUAUAGAUCAAGAAAGAUGAGAAAUCAACCUUAAUCGGGGAAAAGAGAAGAUUGAGGAUUAAAUUGCAAAAUCUUUACAUUUUGUAUCGAGGUAAGUUGUAUGUAAUUAAUAUUGUUAUAAUUGUUUUCGUUAUAUUUUGUGACAAUAUACGUGAAAGGGUUGAUAUUAUAAUGUGUUUUGAAUGAGUUGUAAAUAUAUUUGGAAAGUAAGAAUCUUUGUGGAAAUGUCGUAAUGCUAAAGAUUUGAGUAAGGUAUCGAUGAACACGUGUGUAGUAUUGUGUGAAGGCUACUACGUGUAUCGAUAAGUAAUGUUCACAUGGGUAGUACUAAGUGAAGGCUACUAUGUGUACCAAGAAGCUUUGAGCACGUGUGUAGUACUGUGUGAAUGCUACCACGUGUCUCGGUAAACUACGGUCACAUGUGUAGUACUAAGUGAAGGCUACUAUGUGUACCAAGAAGCUUUGAGCACGUGUGUAGUACUGAGUGAAGGCUACUACGUGAGCCGUAAAACUUGAUCACGUGUGUAGUACUAUGUGAAGGCUACUACGUGAAUUGUAAAACUGAUCACGUGUGUAGUACUAUGUGAAGACUACUACGUGUAUCGAAUGAUAAAAAUAAUAUGAGUAGUACUAUGUGAAAAGCUCCGAAUAUUAUUUUAUAUAUACCGUCAUGAUGAUGAAAUUUGAGUAUGUGAUCGGAAUGUAAUAAGUUGUGAAAAUCGAUUGAAGUGAUGAAAUUUGCGUUGUGUUAUAAAAUAAGUGGUUAUAGUGCUAUGUGAAUAAGGAAUGUUGGAAUAGAACAGAUUUGGACAGUGACAGUGAUGUUAGUUUGAAAAAUCACCAAAAACUAUAAAAAUUGAGUUAGAGGUUGAAUAAUAUAUGAGAUUGAAGCUGAAUGAAUCUAUUUUCAUAUGGAAGAAACAAAGCAAGCAAAGGAGUUGUAUGUUUGGAGAUAUUUAAACUUUAUUGAGACAGGGUUGGAUUGAUUUCGAAAUCCCAUGUUUCAACUUUGGAAAAUCACCAAAAAUUGUAAAAAAAUAAUUAUGGCUUGAAAUUUAUAUUCUUGAAUUCCUUAAUGAGUCUAUUUUUAAUAGAAAGAAACAAGAACAUUGUUUAAAUUUUGUACAAAGAGUUAAAUAAAUUUUAGUGAAGAGAGGUCAGAAGUGUCAAAGAGUGAAACAGGGGAACAUUUAGAGAAUAAACUGUACUAAUUGGCUAAAAAAAAAUUCUGAAAAUUUUAUGGUAAGAAUAUAUGUGAGUCUAGUUUCAGAGAAAAUUUACGGAUCUCAAUUCGGAGUUCUGUAUCUCCGGAUAAAAAUAAUUUACCGACUGUGAUGUAGAAAAACAGUUUGUUGGAAGUUGACUAAAUGAUAGAUUUAUGUGUGAUAGAAAUGAUAUAAUAUAUGAUACUAUCUUAGAAAUUUAUUUAUCGAUUACAUACAUACUUACUAAGCUGUAAGCUUACCCCUCUUUAUUUUUCCUUUGUUUUAUAGUGAUAUUAAUCAACUCGGGAAUUGGACGGAGUUAGAACAUCAUCCUCACUAUCAUCACCAACUUUUGGGUAUUUUGCAAUCAAUACUUUUGAAAAAUGGCAUGUAUAGAUGACUUAAUGCAAUGUAGUUUAAACUUAUAUAUAUAUAUAUAUAUAUAUAUAUGUAUAAAAUAUCGUUUGGUUUAAAAUGUCGGUAUCUAUAAUUGAUGAAUUAUUUCCUUAAAUCUUUUGUUCAUAUAGUUUAGGAUGUUAUGGAUGAAUUAAUCAUGUCAGAACAUAUGAUUGUGUUUGGUUGAAAUAUCGAUGUUGCUUGAGAUUGUGUUUCGAAAAUUUGCAGGAGGAAUUGAAUAUUUAUGAAAAGAAACUAUGUCAAAAUUUUUGUAAAAGAAAAAAAAAAUUUGAUCGCUUGAUAACACUUCUCGCCUUGUUUCGACGAUGAAUACGGGUAAGAGGUGUUGCAAUAAACUUAUCUAAAUAAUUGUUAUAAAAAUUAAAUAUAUUACAAAUUAAUAUUUAUAUAAUGAAUACAUGUAAAUUUAUUAUCAUAAAUAUAUUAUUCAUUGAAUAUUAUUAUACGUGAUUUUAUAUAUUUAUUUUUUAUUCACUGAAUAAUAUAUUUUUAUUUUAUGUAAUUAAUACAAAUAUAAUAUAUUCAAAUUGUGGUACAUAAUUAAAAUAGUGUAACAAUAAAAAAUUCAAACAUAAAAGUUUGAAAGUAAAUAAUAAUGAAAUAAAUUUUUUAGUGAUUUUAACUACUAAUUUAAUAAAAAAAUUAAAACAUACUAUUCUUAUGUAUAAUUUAUAAUUUAAUAUAAAAUAUAAUUUUAAUUAUUUUUAAUAUAAACAUAGUUUUGACAUUUUUAAUUAUUAAUUAAAAUAUUUUAUCAUAAUAUAUAAAUUAAUAUAUAUAAUAUAAAAAUCUAUAAAAGAAUUCCAAAUUUCAAUCAUUAUAUUAUAAAUUUUAUAUCUAAAAAUCCUGAAUUAAAUUAAAUUAAUUCAAUUGAAUUGGACAAACAAACUCGACCCAAAAUCAUUUGAUAUGAUUGGUUGGAUUACCAAUCGAUUUUAAAAACCUUGACCAGGACAACAUCAAUAUGUGAAUUUGUUUAAUAUUGUUUAUUUAAUAAGUCUAAAUUUUGAAGCAUCUAAAAUGUUAAUAAAAUCUUAUUUCUAAUUAUUUUCAUACAUUGAAUAUGUCAUUUCACUUUGUUAGAACUUGUUGAAAAGAAUAUUGUAUGCUUCAAUAGAAGUCACAAUUUAUCUUUGAUCAUGAUUGUUCGCAACUGAGCUACUUAGUAAAUUAAAAAUCAGACCUCGACUAUGUACUGUAAGUGCAUUUUCCUACAAACUUUACCCUAUGAUUCAUUAGCCAAAGGUAUUCAUCCCAUCCCCCAAAGUCAUGAGAUAGAUUUGUAAGCUUUGUUUAUGUUAUAGUUAAGGUGGAUGUGUACGCUAGUGUGUGAGUUCUAAAUUAUAUUGUACAAAAAACAACCUAAAAAGAAGACAAAAGAAGACAUUGGAUAUAGGUAUAGCUGUUUUGUAACAACCUAAAAAGGGUCGUAAUUGCUGCAGGGCUCCCGCAUUCUCGUAUCCUCAAUAUUUGAUAAUCGAAUGGAGCUCAGCUAAGCAUUCAACCAAUCAUAAGAUGAAGAUGUGGGAUUCAUUACUCAAUCUAGCAAUGUCUUCAAUUUUGUACAACUCAAUCUUCAAAUUGCUUAAUGGUUCUUGCGUGAAACCCUUCCAUUAAAUGAUAGUAGAUCUACAUAAUGUACUCAAAAUUGCUUGAUAAUUAGUUGUGCUUGUGUUGGAACCUUAUUUGAAACAUCAAAAGAGAAAAAUAUGUUUUGUCUUGAGUGGACACAUAUAUAAAUAAAACUAAAGAACACAACUAAGAUAUUUACGCAGCUUGAAACUUGUCCUACGUUUGCAGCGCCUUGUUCAGAGAUAAAUCCACUAUAUAUUUUCUAGUACAAAGAAAUGAUUUAUGCCCAACUCUCAAACAUUUGGUGUCACCUCACCUUUGUACAAUGAAGUAAACUCUCGCCCAAUUCACUUUAGCUAUACAAUUGAAAAUCAACACUCAAAAGGUGUAUAACAAUGACACUCAAUAAUAAUUCCUCGCUAUGAGCGCAUGUACUCCUUUAAAUCCACACAUCAUCCACUAAACAAAUCAUCUAUAUAUAAGCUCCAAAAUGCACCAAGCUUUACAUAAGCUCCAUGUAAAGUGGAAUAACAAAUUUUCAAAUGCAAUAUCACUGGACCUAUGUAGAAACACUUACUGUUACUAAACGCUACUGUAUAUCAUGUGCAUAAAUGGUGGCUCACAGCAAACCCAUUGUCCAUGCUUUUUCAGUGCGUUCAAAGUUUAUACAUUCUGUCAAUUUAGUUUUGAUUUAAUAAAUUUAGCCUACAAUAUUUACACAUUUUGUCAAUUUGAUUCUAGUUUAACAAAAUUAGAUUGCAACAUUUACACAUUAUGUAUGAGCUCGAUUUGUUAUUAUACCAAUCAAAAUUAUAUACGAGUGAUAAAAAAUAUUAACAUUGUGGUUAAUUGUCCUUAGUUCACUUCCGAAAUUGAUAGGGAUUAACUUACUUAUUUUAUUUUUAGGGGGGCCAAUUUGCAUAAUAAUGAAUUUGAGAGGAACAAAAGGUGUGUUUUUGCCCAUUUUUAUCCUCACCUCACUACUACAAUUGUUAUUGAAUCCAAACAGGUAUCCAACAAUAAUUUCAAUCACAUCACUAUGGUAUUCAAGCUCACUAUUACAACAAUUAAUCUCACCACCGCUGUUAUUUUUAAUUUCACUAGAGUUGAUGGAAUUGUCCAUCCAAUGAAAGUCAUAGACCUAUCUAAACACAAAUACAAAGAUAAAAACUUAUUUAGAUAUAAAUUGAAAAAUAAUUUUUAUUAUUUGACACAAUUAAAAUGUAAUUACUUGCUUGAUUGAUACAUUUGCUCAAAGGUAAUGUAGCCCCUUCCAUUUUAUUAUUUGCUUAAUUUUUUUUGUAUGUGAUAUUUUGAUCUGUUCAUAAAUGGAAUGUUUCAUGGUGGCUAAGUUUCUUAGGGGAUAAAUUAUGAGUAGCAUUAUUUGUUUGUGCAGUGAAAUUGUGAUGUCUAUAUUUUAAUCUAUUUCUGUAUUUGAUGAUGUAGUGGAGUUUUAAUAUAAUUGUAAUUGAUGGUUUGUUAGUUUUAUGUACCAUAAAUGCUAUAGUAAGAGAGUUUAAAGCCGAACAUUUAAUGUCGUGCUCUAUAUGAAGAAAGGUUGAUGAGUGUUAGUUCUUUUGAUGUUUUGCCUUUGAUGGAUGUUUGAAAAAUGAUUCAGUUGAUAUCCAUAAUGUCUACCACUAUAGUUUCCCCCUUAUGUAGAAUAUGACUGCUAGUAUGUCAGGCAAUAUUAUGUUCGUAUAUUAUGUUCUUUUUCUUAUUGUCUUCAACACGAUAACAAGUGAAUUACUAGUUACUUUACUUGAUUUUGUCAUGCCAUUUUUCUCUUUGAGUUUUGGCCUUUCUGAAUUAACUUUUGAAUCACGUAGUGAAGCAUUUCUGAUGGUUCUUAUGACUAACAGUAAGUUCUCUUAUACAAGCUCCCCUACAUAUGCAUUUCUUAAACUUAUGCUCUUUUCUUCAUUUCAGUUGGUUGUUAAUCUUGAUAUAACCAUGCACAAAUACUAAUACUAAGGGACCUUGUAAUUUUGCCUGCCAUUGGAACUACUCUGAAAUAUUGCUGAUUUUUCUCAGCAAUUAAAGAGGAAGAGCGCAGCAGACAAAAAUGAAGUUUUGUCUAGCCAACAUAAUACAAGAUGUGCUAUUCAACUUGUAGUUUGAUGUGUGCCAACAUAAGCAUCAACACACAAGUCAUACGUAUAUACAGCCAGGAAACCAACAUCUUUUGGAAGAGUCCUAAUCCAAGCAUCAUAAUUGAACAUAGUCUUGGAAUACUGUCUAAAAAAAUGGUUGUCUCAUAAUCAAUUGUGCAUCCCUGCAUUUGAAUGCUGUUUCAAACACUAAAAAAACAUAAAUGUGUUUUUUUCUGAGUUGACACUUAUUAUGCAACAAGGAAAACAAAGAGCACAAUUAAGAUGUUUACACAGUUCAAAACUAGUCCUACAUCUGCGGGGCCUUACCCAAAGAUGAAAACACUAUGAACUUCAUAGUACAAAGAAAUGAUUUAAGCCUAACCUCUCUAACACUUGAUGCAAUCUCAACUUCAACCUCACCACCAAAUAUUCCGAAGCAUCUUCCUUUUUUUCCUGUUUGGACCUUCAAUAACAAAUUUGGCUGGAACUCCAAACAGCUAAAAGAGUGCCCUGCAUCAAUAAAUAUUAUGAAUUUGAAUACCUCCAAAAGCCAGUUACCAUCUAAGAUAGUAAUCAGUUGGCAUAUAUUAAGAGAAAACAUAAAUACAUAUAAAGAUAUGAUAUGUAAGUACUUAAAUGAAGAAAGCAGAGCAUAUAGUACAACCAUUUUGCAGGCUUCAUAGGCCUCUCUCUCCACAUCAAUGAUUUUUUAGAAUUAAAUUAUUAGAAGCAAUCGUCAAGUUAUUAUUAUGAUUUAAAAGUAAAAAGAAAGUAGAUAAAUUAGCACCUCUUUUUAUGCAUAUAAAAUGAUUGAAGUUCACUAAUGCCUUUCUCCAAUGCCUUACUGCACAAAUCAGCAAAAAAUAUUAUGAAAGAUGAUAAGUAAAAAGUAGGAUGAAAACAAAGGGAUUUUAACAAGGAAAUUAACAGUAUCCAACUUCAAUGAAAAAUGGCAUCAGACCCCUCACUUGGAGAUUCAAUAUACCACUCUUAUUUUUCUUCAAAAAAAGAUAAGGUCAUCAUAAUAAAUAAAUAACAAAGACAGACCAACCUGAUACAUCCGAAUGUUGGGGAUGUGAGCAAUCUUUUGCCAAUCAGCGCCAAUGUCCUUCCGAUAUCUUUCCUCCAACUGAGGAAUUUCUCGUAUUUGUAAAUACUCCAAACCGGUUAGGCAACGCAUCUCGUCCGGAAGAGAUGUUAAAUUGGGCAAAUUGACGAGAUAAAGCUCUUGCAGAUUUGUUAGAUGUUGAAGCCACUCCGGAAGAUGCCGACACUUUGGAAUAUUUAGCAGCCGUAGAGAGCGUAGACUUGUAUGAUCUUGGAAUAUUUGGAUGCCAGCUCCAGAUAACUCCAGCUCCUUGCAGUCCUUUACUUCAAACUCUUCAAGGAAAGUGAGAUGUUGGAACACAGGAAAGAGUGACCUCAAUCCAUGGCAUUCACGAAUUUCUAAUGUUUUCAAUUGAACAAGAUGUUGAAGAGAAAUGAGGAGAGACACCAGCUUUGGAAUAUUAUCAAUCUUCAAUUGAGAGAGAUUCUUAAGGGGUUCCCAUUGCAUGCCCUCUAAAUCAACCUCCUUGCAAUCUCUUAUUGUUAAUCUUUUGAGGCUGGUGAGAUGUUCAAACACAGGAAGCAGUGACCUCAAUCGAUUGCAGUUCUGAAUUUUUAAUGUUUCCAAUUGAACAAGAUGUUGAAGAGAAAUGGGGAGAGACACCAGCUUUGGAAUAUUAUCAAUCUUCAAAUGAGAGAGAUUCUUAAGUGGUUCCCAUUGCAUGCCCUCUAAAUCAACCUCCUUGCAAUCUCUUAUUGUUAAUCUUUUGAGGCUGGUGAGAUGUUGCAGGCACUCAUCUAGCAUGUGAGUGUCCAGCCCCUCAAUGUUGUGUACAUGGAAAGAUUUCAAUUUGGAGAGUGGAAGAGAAGAGGUUGAAGUUGAUGGGGCCUUAGCAUUGAUGUUCAUCUUGAUAGUCUGCUUUAACGACCUUGAACUGGUAUUCGACAACAUUAGAUCUUCAUCGAGUGAUGGAUACAGUGGCAUCAAAGUCAAAGGGCAAUUUACAAUCCAUAAAGAGGAAAGACAAGGAAAUGCCAUGGUUGAUGUUCCCAUAACUGUUGUGUCGUCCUCGUUGGAAUCAUCAUCGAUUGGUUUUGUUGUCCUCCACCAACUCUUCAUAUUUGGGCAAUUCUCGAGGUGAAGACGCUUAAGCGAUGGGAAGAAUGAGUUAAUCUCACCACCAACAUUAUUUUUAAUUUUACUAGAAUUGAUCCAAUUAUACAUCCAAAGAAAACCAUAAACUUAUCUAAAUACAAAUAAAACUAUUAAAAAAACUUAUUUAGACAUAAAUUGAAAAAUAAAUUUUAUUAUUUCACACAGUAAAAAUAUAAUUACUUGCUUGAUUUAACCCAUUCAAUUUGGUCAGAUUGAAGGUUAUUCUUUGAUAAGAUAUUAUUAUUAUUAUUUGCUUUGGGCAAACUUAAUACAACUUGAUUUACUCUUUAUUAAUUAAAAGCAUUUUAUUUAUAUUUAAUUAUAAAAAUGUGUAUAUAUUAUUAAAAUAUUAUUUUUUAAUAUUAAAUGAAUAGUGAAAUAAGGUCAACUUAUAAGGGUUAAAGUAUUUAGGAAGUCCCUAUAUUAUAGACUGUAUCAAGUUAGUCUCUCAAUUUAAAAAGAAUCAAAUUAUAUCAAAUUGUAACAGAGUUAACAAUUUUCAAUACAUUUUUUAUGCAAUAAAUGUUAACUUUGUUGUAAUUUGGUUUUAUUUGAUUCUUUUUAAUAGUAUAGAGACUAAAUUGACCAUUUAAUAAUAAAGGGACUAAUUUGAUGUAGUCCCUAUAAUAGAGGUACUUUCACCCUUAUAUAUGUGCUUGAAUCUUAUUUUGGAUGAAAUUGAACAAAUGAAAAAGAUAAGAGUUGAAAAAGGUAAAAAUAAAUGAAAUUAGCACAUUAAAUUGUAAUUAUAUACAAAAGAUUCUUAGGUAUGAGUAGGAAAAUGGAUGCCAAACAUAUCGUAAGAUAAGAUGAAGCUUCAAUUUUGGUUUGCUGACAAUCUUCUUUUUUGGAAGUCAUAUCAAUUACGACUGUUUGAAUUUUUAACAUCUAGAGAUGAUUGUCAAAAUAUUAUACUAACAAAUUAGCCAUAAUCACUUAUUUAGCUCUCCAACUUUACAAUAAAAAUCAUUUUAGCUCUUCAAUUAAAUUUUUGUCUCUUUUAGUCCUUAACCUUGCAUUAAUGUUUAUCUAUUUUAGAGUGAUCUGAUAAAUAAUGCAAGUUUAAGGACUAAAUCGAUUUUUCAUAAAGUUAAAUAUAAUAGAGAAUUUAAAAACAAAUGAAAAUAUUUAUAUUUUAUUUUAUAUUUGUUUAAGUUCGGCCUGGUCCAAAAUAUAAACUUAAAAAAUCUGUUUAAAUUUGUAAACAGCUAACUCAAACUCAUUUUAAAUCCACUCGUUCUAUUUUUUUAAAAAAAUUAAAAUGUAUUUAUAUUAUUUUUAACUUAAUAUUUAAUAAUUUUAUAUUUUUAUUAAAAUUUUAUAUAUAGUCAUCUUAAUAUUAAUAAUUUUAUUUUUAAUAGUUUUAUUAAAAUUAAAACCUUGACCAGGACAACAUCAGUAUGUGAAUUUAGUUUCGUAUUUAUUUAAUUUGGUUAGCACAUAUUAAUAGUUUUCAUAGUCUCUUUAGUUUUUGUUUUUUUGGGAUUGUGUAAAAUUUAAAAUUUUAGAUAUUUUUAUGUUCAUAUUUUCUUUUAUAAAUAUAUAUAUUGUAAGCUCUCACUAAUUUUUUCAAGCUUUUAGGAGUUCCUUCUAUUGAAGCAAUAUCAUGAUCAAAUCUAUAAUCAGUAUAUAUGAGAAAGAAAAAAAAUAUAAAAUAAAAUAAAUUAAAAAUUAAAAAUAGACUUGGACACUUAUGGAUGUUAAAUUUAUAAUAAGUUCAAGUAAAAUGGCUAAAAUAAUCAAACUACCGUCUAACUCAUGCUAUGAAAACAUAUAAUCACAGUUAAAAAAAUAUUGUAUAUUUUGAUGAAAGUCACAAUUUAUCUUUGGUCAUGCUUGUUCGCAACUAAACCGCUAUAAUGUAACUACAUGUUCUUACAAAUCUCGCGCUAGUCGACUUUGCCCUAUGAUCCAUUAGUCAAAGGUAUUUAUCCGAUUGAUUUGUCAGUUUUACCUUUUUUAUACUUUUAAGUAAAUGUGUACGAAGUGUGUGAGUUCCAAGUUAUACUGUAACAAAAAUUGAAAAUACCUGACAAGACCAAAAUGAAACAAUUAAUACCCAAAAUUUUAUUCUUCAAUAUAGAAACUAAUGCACAACGAAAAUAAAGUUAGUAAAUUAGUAGGAGAUAAAAGAAGGGUAUAGAUGUUUUGUAAGAAGCUAAAAAGGGUUGUAAUUGUUGCAGGGCAUCCAUAUUGUCAUAUCCUCAACACUUGGUAAUUGAAUGGAGCUAAGCUAAGCAUUCAUUACUCUUGGAAUUGCUCAAUGGGUGUUGCGUGAGGCCCUUUCAUUAAAUCAUAGUCCACAUAAUGUACACAAAAUGGCUUGAUGGAGGGGCGAGAUACAACUAAAAAUAUGUCAGGGGAUAAAGCUAAUAAUUUAAGAAUUUUAUUUAACAAUUAAUGAAUCAAACGAUAUCAUAUUAUUAUAUUUUUAAUGAAUAAAUAAUUUAUUGUUUUAAUAAAGUGAUAUUAUGUGUGUAUAAUAUAAUUAUAUGAUACAUCAAAUAUAAAUCAUUAAUUUAUAUACUUAAAAGUGUGUUUUGUUAAUCUAAUGUGUUUAAAAAAGAAAGAAGAAAUAAUCCUCUUAAAUUUUAUAAUCUCGUCGUGUUUUUAAUAUGUUAGAAUCAAGUUACCAAUAUGAUGAGUACACAAGUAUUUACAAUUUAAUCAUGUCAAAUGAGAACAAAAUUUAAAACUUAAAUUGACAGCUACAAAUGAAAUAAUUUUAUUGAUAUAAUAUAAUACUUUCAAAUUUUAAUUAAAAUAUUUUAGAAUUAUAAAUUAAUUUUUAAAAAUUAAUAAUAAAUUGAGAAUAUUUAAUACAAAUAACUUCGUAUAUGAAUAUAAAUAGUUAUAACACAUUUAUUAUUAAAUGAAAAUAAUGUUGAGAAUCAAGUUACCAAUAUGAUGAGUACACAAGUAUUUACAAUUUAAUCCAUGUCAAAUGAGAACAAAAAUUAAAACUUAAAUUGACAGCUACAAAAAUGAAAUAAUUUUAUUGAUAUAAUAUUAAUACUUUCAAAUUUUAAUUAAAAUAUUUUAGAAUUUAUAAAUUAAUUUUUAAAAAAUUAAUUAAUAAAUUGAGAAUAUUUAAUACAAAUAACUUCGUAUAUGAAUAUAAAUAGUUAUAACACAUUUAUUAUUAAAUGAAAAUAAUGUUGUUUGGAGUUUUCUAUUUUUUCAUUAGCCAACUGAUGAUAAAAAUGAUAAAAUUGAAUCGUUGGGGUGACUACUAAGUAGGUUACCUUUUUUUAGGUUAAAAUAUGCCAUAUGUCCUUGUACUCACCAUAAAUUUGAAAUUUAAUCUCUAUACUUGUAUUUAUAGGAAUUUAAUUCUUUUACUUUUCAGAGUUCAAAUUUUAGGUCCAAUUGUUAAUACUGUUAAUUUUUUUUGUUGAAUUUGUUAGUGUGACUGUUUGAAAUAAAAAAAAACUUACUUGGUAGCCAUGUAACUAAGAAUAUGACAUUUUAAUGAACCUGAAUUUAAUAAAAUAAUUUUAACAGUAUUAACAGUUGGACUUGAAUUUUAAAAUUUAAAAAGUAUAGGGACUAAAUUCUUUAAAAUAAAAAUAUACAAACUAAAUUCUAAACUUACAAAUAUAUAUAUAUAGGACUUGGGGGAUUUUAAUUUUGUUAUGGUAAAUAAGGGGAAAUAGAGAAAAAAAAAAAGGCAAUUAAUAUGUGAACAAAAUCUACAUGUUUGCAAUUUCUAGAUAAUUUUGUGAUUAAUAGAAAUUAUUUUUCGAUUCAUUAAGGUUAAAAUUUUUUCAGAAUUUUUAUAGCAGAAUUUAAACCUUAUUUCUUCAAUUCUUGCAUCUUCGAUUAAGGUCCACUUAGCAAUACAAUUUUAGAGAUUAAAAAAGUUACAUUUCCAUAUAAUGUUUCUUGAGAAAUUUUUUUUCUUUUUCAAAGUUUCAUUAAUAUACAUGCAUUGUACGUGAUUUAUAUAUUUAUUUUUAUUCACUAAAUAAUAUAUUUUUAUUUGAUGUAAUUAAUGCAAAAAUAAUAUUAUUCAAAUUGUGGUACAUAAUUAAAAUAGUGCAACAAUAACAAAUUCAAACAUAAAAGUUUGAAAGUAAAUAAUAAUGAAAUAAAUUUUUUAGUUAUUUUAACUACUAAUUUAAUAAAAAAAUUUAAAACAUACAAUUCUUCUGUAUAUUUUAUAAUUUUAUAAUUUUAAUUUUUUUAAUAUAAACGUAGUUUUGAUAUUUUUAAUUAUUAUUUAAAAUUUUUUAUUUUAAAUAUAUUCUUAAUUAUUUAUUUUACACAUACAUACAUUUUAACUUAAUGUUCUUAAUAGUAAUUUUCUAUUUUUAUUCCAUUGCUACAUUUGCAUUUGAAUUUAAAUACAUAUUUCACAAUUAACAUUAAUCUCACCGCUACAAUAUUCAAACUCACUAAAUUACUUAUUUAACACUAUUAUAAAAAUAUAUAUAAAUAUUACUAAAUUAUCAAUUUUUAAUAUUAAAAGAACAAUGAAAUAGGGUCAGCGUGAAGAAAACUUAAAAAAAAAUUUGUACCCUAACCAAAUUAUAGACAAGUCUAUUGAUUAAUUUUUAAAAAAUAAUAUUUUAGCUUAUAUAAGAGUUAAAAUAUUUGGAAAGUUUAAAAUUAGUCUCUCUAUUAUUAAAUGGACCAAUUUUAUCACAGUACUAUUAAAAAGAACUAAAUAAGGUUAAAUUGUAACAGAUUUAACAUUAAUAGAAUUAACAAAUUUCAAUAUAUUUUUUAUAAAAUAAAUGUUGACUUUGUUAUAAUUUAACUUUAUUUGUAUGCAGUCCCUAUAGUACCGGUACUUUAACCCUUAUAUAUAUGUUUGAAGUUUAUUUUAGGAUGAAAUUGGAAAAUUGAAAAAAGUAAGAGUUCAAAAAGUAAAAACAAACGAAAUUAGCACAUUAACUUACAAAAUAUAUUUUUUAUAAAAUAAAUGUGUUUGGAACAUUAAAAAUGUGUUUUUUUUCCUGAGUUGGUACAUAUUAUUUCAAUUUUGAUGAGAAUUGUACUCUCACUUAACGCUUCAUGUCAUUCGCUUUUUCUUUUCUUUCCCUUUUUUUUUUUUUGUGUGAGAUCUUUUGAUCUGUUCUCAAAUAGAGCUUUUCAUGGUGGCUAAGUUUCUUACGGGAUAAAUUAUGAGUAGCAUUAUUUGUUUCUGCAUUGAAAUUGUGAUGUCUGUAUUUUAAUCUGUGAGGUAUUUCCGUUUGUGAUGAUGUAUUUGAUGAUAUAGUGGAAUUUUGGUAGAUUAAAGUGCUCGUUUGCUGUACUAAGUUGAAAUUGAAUGAAUGCUGGCCUCAUCCAAUGUCCAAAACUUGAUGACUUCAACAUUUUGAUGCCUUAAUUUGAGAAGACUAAGUUAGAGUACUAUAAAACUUUCUAAGAAUGCUGAUGAGGCAUAGAUCUAGUGAUAUAAUAUAAUUGCAAUUGAUAGUAUGGAGAAACCUAAGUUUUAGUACCAUCAAAUAAAAUUGCUAUUGCUAGUAUGUUUGUUUUAUGUAAUAUAAAGCCAUAGUAAGAGAGGAAGGCUAUGUUAUGCUAUUCCAUUCUCGGUUUAAAGCUGAACAUUUAAUGCCGUGCUCUAUAUGAAGAAAGGUUGAUGGGUGUUAGUUCUUUUGAUGUUUUGUCUUUGAUGGAUGUUUGAAAAAUGAUUCAGUUGAUAUUCAUAAUGUCUAUCCCUACAGUUUCCCCCUUAUGUAUAAUGACUGCUAGUUUGUCGGUCUUCGUAUAUUAUAUUCCUUUUGUGUGAAAUUCCAAACUGCGUAAACAUCUUAAUUGUGUUCUUUAUUUUCCUUGUUGCAUAAUAUGUACCAACUCAGGAAAACACACAUUUUUAAUGUUCCAAACAUCAAUGCUUGAGCUAAGGAAAUCAAAGUCUCCUAGGAGGAUUCUAGCCCAUCAAUUCCCUCUAUAUAUCAACAAUGAACCUGCAAACUGUAAAUAUCAAUAUACAGUAUGAUAAAAUUGAUCUCGUAUAGACCGAGCAGUGUCCAAAUGUAGAAGAAGCACUUACUGUUACUAAAAACAUAACUCCAUAUUUUGUGCACAAAUGGUGGCCAAACACAUAUCCGUUGUCUAUGCUUUUUGAUUCCAAGUUUAAGAAAGGGCCAAACAUUGGGCGUCCUCAUCCUCAUCUGUAAUAGUAACAAAUUCACAUUCCCAUUCCAAGUUUAAGGAAAUGCCAUGGUAACAAAUUCACAUAACUGUUGUGUCGUCCUCGUUGGAAUCAUCAUCGAUUGGCUUUGUCGUCCUCCACCAACUCUUCAUAUUUGGGCAAUCCCGUAGGCAAAGAUGCUUAAGUGAUGGGAAGAAUGAUUGUGGUUCUCCUUGACUUCCUUUUGGGCUAUUAUCAUCCAUGUACUCCAGCUUAGUACAAUCAUAUAUCUCCAGCCCUUUAAGACAAGGAAAUUGCGCAAAGGACGGGAUUUGUUUGAAAUUACUACCACUUAUGUCAAUUGUGACGAGAUUUUUGAGCAAAGGAAGCCAACUUGGAAACUUGCCAUCACCCCUCCAUCCUGCAAUACAGAGCUCCUUGAGAUUAGGAUGGGGCUGGAGGUCUUCAAGUGACUUCUCAUCGUCAUCAUCAAAACGAAGGCUCCAUUCUAAAAGCAACGAUCUCAAAUGUUGCUUCUCUUUCAAAUUAGCAGCCUUAAACUUCUCUUUUGCAUUUUUUACGAAUCCCAAAUUUGUUAUUUGUAGACGUCCCCUUAAGUUGUUAAGCAGUCUCAAUUCACUUAGAUCUGCACCGCCAUGGGACCCAUCUUUAUCCACUACAAACAUGCUUAACGUCUCAAGUGAAGUCAGCUUCCCUAUUCCACGUGGCAUAUGAGUUAAACUAAAACACUACGACACCCAAUAUGGGUAAGAUUCACCAAUUCUUCAAUCUUCUUUGGCAAUUCUUUAAGCCCAAAACAGCAGUCAAGUUUCAGCGCUAGCAAAUUCUGAAUCUUGCAAGUACUCUUUGGGAGAAUCUUAAUAUUGUAAUUGGAAGAAAGGUCAAGGUACCUCAAAUGUUUCAACUUACAAAUGGAGGGUGAAAUCUUUUGAAUACCUAUAGAAUAUAAUUUCAAUACACGCAAGCAUCUACAAUUUGCAAUUAUCAAAUCCCAACUUUCUUCACUAAAAUCUUGAUAUAUGCUGUUUGGAAAGUGUAACAAGGUUCGCAACUUCUUUCCCUUAAACAAAGGAAUUAAUGAAGGAAUUAAUAAAGGAUUAAUUGAUAUGUGGCGACAUUUUUCACCAACAUCACCUGCAAUUUUAUUUGAAUCUACAAUACUACUCUCCAUCCCUGCUACUGAUUCAGCUAGAUCUUGCAUUAAAUCAUGCAUUUUACAUCUCAUAUCCCCAAUUCCAUAUUCUUCUACCUCUUGAAAGAAACUCCUGUCAACUAAAUCUUUAAAAUACCCAAACCCGAUCUCCUCCAGAGAUUGACUUUGAUUCAAUUGCUUUAUGAAACCCUGUGCAAUCCAAAAUUGAACAAGCGCUUGCACUUGAAUUGUGUAAUCUGUUGGAUACAGUCGGCAAUAAGCAAAGCAAUGCUUCAAAUGAGACGGGAGAUGAUCAUAACUCAAUUUCAGUAUAGGUAGAAUUUCUCCUUCAAUUUGUGAAAUUUUAGCAAGUUCAUUUUCUUUGAAAGAAUGCCACUCAUUUGCAGUUUUCUUCUAAGAUAAUGUACCAGCUAUCGUCCUUAUGGCUAAGAGAACCCCACCACACCUUUCCGAAAUCUGUCUCCCUACUUCCACAAAGGCUGAAUUUGUUGAGUCUGCAUAUCCUUGCUCAAAUGCUAUCUUUUUGAACAAAGACCAAGCAUCAUCAUCAGACAAGCCUUUCAAUUUCAAAACAUGGGAUUGACAUUUAUUAGUUAUCUCCGCUACCCUUAGAGAUCGAGUAGUUACUAUUAUCCUACUCCCUUUAGCCCCACCCAUCAAUAACUUCUUUAGCCUAGAUGUUGAAGUCAGCUCCCAUAUAGCAGCAAAGGUGGCCAUGCAAGGAACGUGCUUCAGCAGCAAAUUGAUGCAGCAAGCUGAAGCUAUUCAUUUGGUUUCCUUAAUUGAAUGUUUUGUAUUUAGUUAGGAUCAAACUUAGUUGGUAGCUGCAUUUUGAUGUAAUUAGGUGCUGAAUGACAAGCUUAGGUAGAAGCUUUUUUGUUUUUCAAUCAAGUUUACCAAGUUACUAGGCAUUUUAGUGGUGUUAGGUAUGUUAGUAGGUGAUUACUUGUUUGUUUUACUUAUUGACUGAUAUAUGUAAUGGCUUAAUGCCUUGUUCAUGUGUUAAUGAAAAAUAUCAGCUCAUUUUCAUUCAAUCUCUUUCUCUCUUUUCUGUUUUCACUUGCUAGCUUCAUCUUUCUAUUUUUUCUGCUUCCGAGUUUGCUUCUUCACCAAGCCUCGAGCCUUACUACUCAAGCAAGACUAGAAACAGCUUGCUGCUGCCUCUUGCACCAACAAUUGGUAUCGAGAGCUCUUGUCUUAGUGGACCUGUUGCUUCAAAACAAAGAACUUGAUGGCUUCUUCAGGAUUUUCACCAGCAGCCCCACCAGUCUUCAAUGGAGAAGGCUUUCACAUAUGGCUGGUCAAGAUGAAGACUUACCUACAGGCUUUUGAUCUGUGGGAAGUUGUCAACACAGAUACUGAGCCAGCACCACUGAGGGCUAAUCCCACAGUAGCUCAGAUUAGGCAACAUGCUGAUGAGAGGACCAAAAGGCACAAAGCCAUGUCCUGCAUCCAGAACUGUGUGUCAGAUGUCAUCUUCACCAGAAUCAUGGCCUGUGAGACUCCAAAACAGGCCUGGGAUAAGCUUAAGGAGGAGUUUCAAGGCACUGAGAGAACAAGGCAACAGCAGCUGCUAAACUUGAGAAGGGAUUUCGAGAAUUUGAAGAUGAAGGAAGAAGAAACAGUGAAGCAGUACUCAGAUAGAAUUAUGGCAGUGGUUAACAGCAUAAGGCUCCUAGGUGAGCACUUUGAUGAGGCAAGAAUUGUGGAGAAAGUCCUCUCCACUUUGCCUGAGAGAUAUGAGGCCAAGAUAUCCUCUCUAGAGGACUCAAGAGAUCUUGCUAGCAUCUCUUUGACUGAGCUAAUCAACACCUUUUAUGCUCAGGAACAAAGAAGAGCUAGCAGAGCUGAAGAUCACCAAGAAGGUGCAUUUCAAGCCAAGGCCAGAGAAACCUCGAGCACUAAUGCUCAAAGAGGCAAAAGGCCUUGGAAAAACAGGCCUAAGCCUGAUGCUGCAAGGAGCAAUGACCAGCCCUGCAAAUAUUGCAAGAAGCCUGGCCAUCCAGAAGACAGAUGCUGGUUUAGGCCAGAUGCAGUAUGCCAACACUGCAAGAAGAAGGGCCAUGUUGAAAGGGUCUGCAAAAACAGAAGUAAGCCAAGGCAGAAUCAAUUUCAGCAGUCAAAGGUUGAAGCUCGAGUAGCUGAGGACAGUAGUGACCAAGAAGAACAGGUCUUUGCUGUUUCCUGUGUAGCUUCUGAGAAGAAAUGCUCUAAAGGCUGGCUGCUGGACAGUGGUUGCACUAACCACAUGUCACCAGAUGCCUCCUUGUUUAAAACCUUGGACAGAAGUUAUAAAACCAAGGUCAAGGUUGGACAUGGUCAGUUUAUAAGGGCUGAAGGAAGAGGAGAAGUGCUGAUAUCUACUCCCACAGGCAACAAGAUCAUUCCAAAUGUGCUGUUGGUACCACAGAUUGACAGAAACCUUCUCAGCAUAGCUCAACUGCUCGAGAAAGGUUAUUCUGUUGUGUUCAAGGAUAAACAAUGCCAUAUUACUGAUCCAAGUGGAUCAAGCCUUAUGACAGUCACAAUGACUGAUAAAUGCUUUGAGGUUCACUGGGCAAAUGACUCAAACUCAGCAUACACAGCCUCUGUUGAAGACUCCAAGCUUUGGCAUCAAAGGCUUGGACAUGCCAACUUCAGAUCAAUGGCUCGAUUGGCCAAAGAGGGCAUGGCAGAGAACUUCACCAGCUCAGUGGAGCAUGAUGAUGUGUGUGAAGUCUGCCAAAUGGGGAAACAGGCAAGACUGCCAUUUCCUACAAAUUCAGCUUGGAGAGCUACUGAAAGACUACAGCUGGUGCACUCUGAUGUAUGUGGCCCGAUGAGGACUGAAUCACUCAGCAAAAACAGGUAUCUCAUCCUCUUUAUUGAUGAUCUUACAAGGUUUUGCUGGAUUUUCUUUUUAAAACACAAGUCUGAGGUAGCUCAAGUGUUUGUGAAGUUUAAAAAUGCUGUAGAAACAGAAACAGGUUGCAAGCUGAAAUCGAUAAGGACAGACAAUGGCACUGAGUACACUUCAGCUCAGUUUCAAGCCAUUUGCAAUGAUGCUGGUAUCAAACAUCAGCUUACAAAUGUCUACACACCUCAGCAGAAUGGGGUAGCUGAAAGAAAGAAUAGAAGUCUGAUGGAUAUGGCCAGAUGUCUGCUGUUUGAGAAGAAACUGCCCAAGACCAUGUGGGCUGAGGCAGUAAACACUGCUGUUUACCUUCAGAACAGGCUUCCCACUAAAGCUCUUGCAUCCGAGACACCUUUUGAGGCUUGGUUUGGUUUCAAGCCUUCCUUGGCACACCUGAAGGUGUUUGGUUGCCUGUGUUAUGCACAAAUACCAGCAGCAAAGAGAGACAAGCUCUCUAAAAGGGCUCAACCAGGUGUUCUAGUAGGCUACAGCUCAGUCAAAAAGGGCUACAGGGUUCUGGAUCCCUUGACAAACAAAGUCCAAGUGAGCAGAGAUGUCAUCUUUGAUGAAAAAGCCUGCUGGAAUUGGGAGAAAAAUGAGCCAGAAGCAAUUUCAGAAGACCUAGUGACUAAUCAAGCUGAACUUGAGCAGCUAGAACCUGAAAUGGAUGUUGAUGAUGUGCCUGUGAGAGGCACAAGGCCCCUAGAAGAUAUUUAUGAAAGGGCACAGGUUGCAUUAGCAGAACCUAGCAGUUUUGAAGAGGCUGAGGCAGAUGAAGGUUGGAAACAAGCUAUGGUUGAUGAAAUCAACAUGAUUGUAAAGAAUCAGACAUGGGAGUUGGUUGAAAAGCCUGCCAACAGAAAGACUAUCAGUGUAAAAUGGGUCUAUCGAGUGAAGCACAAUGCAGAUGGAAGCUUAAACAAGCUAAAGGCCAGGCUAGUUGUAAAGGGCUUCAGUCAAAGGUAUGGUCUGGACUACAUGGAAACAUUUGCUCCAGUAGCCAGACUCGAUACAAUCAGAUUGCUGAUUGCAGUUGCUGCUCAGAACCAGUGGACAAUCCACCAAAUGGAUGUCAAGUCUGCAUUCCUCAAUGGAUUUCUAGAAGAAGAGAUAUACAUCGAGCAACCCCCAGGUUUUAUAAUGCCUGGUAAGGAACAAUUGGUGUAUAGGCUAAGAAAGGCCUUGUAUGGCCUAAAACAGGCCCCUCGAGCCUGGUAUGCUCGAAUUGACUCAUAUUUGGUCAGUUUGGGAUUUGAAAGGAGUGCUAGUGAGCCAACACUCUAUGUUAAGAAGAAUGGAGCUGAAACACAGCUUAUUGUGUCACUAUAUGUUGAUGAUCUUCUCGUGACUGGAGGAGACAAGCUUAUGAUGGUUGAUUUCAAAGCAAGAAUGAAGAAAAUGUUUGAGAUGUCAGACCUGGGAUUGAUGACAUAUUUCCUAGGAAUGGAAGUCAAUCAAAUAGAAGGAGGAAUCUUCUUGAAACAAAAGACAUUUGCCUUGAAAGUGCUGGCUAAAUUCUCAAUGGAGAAUUGUAAACCAGUGAGCACACCAAUGGCUAUUGGCAUAAAGCUAUCGAGCCAGGAGGAACAUGAAUCUGUCUGUGAAACAGAUUACAGAAGCCUUGUUGGGUGUUUAUUGUAUUUGACAGCAACAAGACCCGACAUUUUGUUUGCUGUAAGCAUGCUAUCAAGGUUCAUGCACUGCUGUAACCAGCAACAUUACAAGGCUGGGAAAAGGGUGCUAAGAUACAUUAAAGGUACCUUAAACCAUGGAAUACAGUUUAGAAAGGCUGAAGAGUUGAAACUGAUUGGCUACACUGAUAGCGAUUGGGCUGGUUCAAAGGAUGACAUGAAGAGCACUUCUGGCUAUGCUUUUACACUUGGCUCAGCUAUGAUUUGUUGGAGCUCAAGAAAACAAACAAUGGUGGCUCAAUCGACAGCAGAAGCAGAGUAUGUAGCAGCUGCCAAUGCUGUUAAUCAAGCCAUGUGGCUGAGAAAAAUUUUGAGUGACUUGAAUCUACAGCAGAAUGAAGCAACUGUGAUACAUUGUGACAACAAGUCAGCAGUUGCUAUUGCUAAAAAUCCUGUCUUUCAUGGCAGGACAAAACAUUUCAACAUCAAACUCCAUGUGAUAAGAGAAAUGGAACAAGCUCGAGAAAUUGAGCUAAUCCAUUGCAGUUCUGAAAAUCAGAUUGCCGAUAUCUUCACAAAGCCUAUUGGUGUAUCAAGAUAUCUAAGCCUGAAGAGGAAGCUAGGAGUCUGCUGCAUAGAAGCUGAGGAGGAGUGUUGAAGUCAGCUCCCAUAUAGCAGCAAAGGUGGCCAUGCAAGGAACGUGCUUCAGCAGCAAAUUGAUGCAGCAAGCUGAAGCUAUUCAUUUGGUUUCCUUAAUUGAAUGUUUUGUAUUUAGUUAGGAUCAAACUUAGUUGGUAGCUGCAUUUUGAUGUAAUUAGGUGCUGAAUGACAAGCUUAGGUAGAAGCUUUUUUGUUUUUCAAUCAAGUUUACCAAGUUACUAGGCAUUUUAGUGGUGUUAGGUAUGUUAGUAGGUGAUUACUUGUUUGUUUUACUUAUUGACUGAUAUAUGUAAUGGCUUAAUGCCUUGUUCAUGUGUUAAUGAAAAAUAUCAGCUCAUUUUCAUUCAAUCUCUUUCUCUCUUUUCUGUUUUCACUUGCUAGCUUCAUCUUUCUGUUUUUUCUGCUUCCGAGUUUGCUUCUUCACCAAGCCUCGAGCCUUACUACUCAAGCAAGACUAGAAACAGCUUGCUGCUGCCUCUUGCACCAACACUAGACCACCUUUCUGGGUCCUCAUUCCAAAUGUCAUCCAAAACAAGCAAAUAUUUUUUCCCAUCAAUUUUAUCUCGAAGUUGUUUUUGCAGUUGAUCCAUUUCAAGAUUUUGAUCAGGUGCUUGAUGAGUCACAGAUUUGAUAAUGUUUGCUACAAUAACUUUCACAUCAAAAUCAUCUGAAACACACGCAAACAUCGUUAAGUCAAUUGAAGCUAAUCUCGCCAUAAUGGCCUUCAUUUUCCGACCCAUUUUGAGACCAUAAGCAAAUUGGUUUGAGCUCGAGAAGAAAAGGCGUACCUCUUUCGUCAGCUUGUUCCCACCCAUUAGAUCUUUCCGCAAAGCUUCGGUAGAGAAAUCAUCGAGCAAGUCGUCAGCAUCGUAAAGUACAUCUUUCAGCUUUUCAAGCCAAUCUUUGACGAGAUGGCUGGUCACGGAUCGCUCUUCUGCGUCAAGAAGCACAGCUUUGAUUGUAGAGACGGUGCUUUUGAGGUCGUCAAGGUCAUGUUUUAGAUUCCACCACAGCCCAACUUGAGAGAGAGCACGAGAGCUCAACUUAAUAAUGAGCUCUGCGGCAAUGUCGAAAGCAAUUGCUUCGGCCAUUGUUGGUUCGAACUGAAAUCAAGGCAAAAAGUGUUUGAUUCGUGAGAGAGGACUAAAAUGAGAAUGAUCCCAGCAAGAUGAAACACAGAUGUGGAUCCAUCCACCCAGCAAGUAGUAUAAUUAAAUAAAAAGUAAUGUUGAUUGGUGGGAAAUGGUCCGUCCAUGUUUACUGUUUGACACAAAUUUCUGAAUGGAGACAAAGUUGAGAUGAUGGCACUAGGGGUGCUCUGCACAACGUACAAAUAAUUGAAAUUAAUGAAAAAGGUAUGAAAGAAAAGAGAAAAAGGAGACAAGUCCCAUGGAAUCCAAGGUGUUUUGAUUGAAGUCUUUCUAAACCUUCUUCCCACUUACUUUGUGUAAUUGAGUGAGUCUCAAUACUCGGUUAAAUUCAAUAUUUUAUUUUUGAGUUUAACUUUGGUUGAAUAUAUAAAAUAAAAAUUCAAUAAAACUCAUUCGCCAUUAGAAUCAAAUAUUAUUAAAUUCGAAUCCGAUUAAAUCAAUAAUUUAAACAUAACUUAAUGACUACUAAAUCAAAUUUAAAUCUUUUUUUAAUCGAAUUUAAUUAACUUACAAAUGAUUAUCAUGUCCACCUUUCUCACCCACCUACUUAGCUUUGAUUUUGUCUUUUAAAGUAACUUGGUGUCUAUAAUUAUAUAUUACGACAAUAGUUACUGUUAUAAUUGUUUGUCUAUGCAAUAUAUCAAAGUAAAAUAUAAGAGUUUAACAUUUGUUAACCCUGUUAUAAAAAUUUAAUUUAACUCUUUAAAAAUUAUAAAGAUAUAUUACUAUAAAAAUAUAUAAUUUAAUUCCAACUAAAAUUUUUUUUAGCUUGGCUACUAUUGAAAAAUUAAUUUAGUUUUUGAACACAACAUGUGGAAAGAUAUUGGGUUUAUGUCAGCUCCAUGGGAAUGUAUUUAAUUGGUAUUGAAGGAAAAAUCAUUACUUAUACCAUCAUGAAGAUUGCUUCCACUGCUCAUAUCUAUUUUAUUAUUUUAUUACACAUAAAAUUGUUUUAUUGUGAGUUGGAUGAUUUUGGUUUUUUUUUAAGAUAUUUUAUUUUUAAAUAUAUUUUUAAAUAUUUAUUUUACAUAUACAUGUAUUUUAACUUAAUACAUUUAAUAGUAUUUUUUUAUAAUAAAAAAACCCAAAGGUCGCUACCUCAUUUUAAGUUGCAUCAUAAAUUACAAUGUUAUGAUUAUCGAUCACUAAGAUAAUUCAUCUCAAAAGACAAAUUACUACACUUAGAAAGAGCCCAAUUACAAAGAGAAUCAGCUAAUUUGUUAUAACCACGUUUCACCCAUUUAACCUCGAAAGAAACAAAAGAAUCAAGCAUCUUGUGAGCUCCUUAAUGCAGUGAUCAAGGAUCGUUAUGUCCUCUUUGUGAAAACUAAAGCGGUUGACAAUGCUAGCACAAUCUGUUUCAAAAAUGACAUUAUGUUUAAAGUGUUUAUUAAUUAUUUUGAAAAAUGAAAGUAUAAUAACUUUUUUGGCAUUCCAACUUUAUAAAAGAAUUAUUUUAGCUCUCUAUUUACUUUCAUUUUCUUUUAGUCUUUAAACUUAUAUUUUUUUUUGUCAAACCAUCCAAAAUGGGUGAAAAAGUUAACAUUUGUUAACUUUGUUGACAUGACAUAUAGGUAGAUUACCACGUGUAUGUCACGUUAACAAUUAAUUAUUUUAAAAAAAUAUUUAAAAAUAUUUUUUUGAAUUUUUUUAAAAAAUAAUUAAUUGCUUAUGUGGCAUAUACGUGGCAAUCCGCGUGUAUGUUACAUUAGCAAAAUCAACAUACGUUAAUUUUUCACUCAUUUUGAGGUGAUUUGACAAAAAUUACAAGUUUAAGAACUAAAAGAAACGAAAAGUUAAAUGGAGAGUUGAAAUAACUUUUUCUAUAAAGUUAGAGACCAAAAGAAUCAUUAUUGCAAAAAAAAUAGUUGUUUUUCUUCUCCUUUUUUUUGUAUUUUUAGUGCUAAAAUUCAAGAUGGUGCGGAAUAGUUUUUAAUCUUAUUAUUGUUAUAUAUGUUUUCGACCUCAUUGGAGCUAAUCUCACUGUCUAUAUAAAGAGAGCCUAAAUAUAAUUUGUUCAGCUUCUUUUAAACAAGUUAGUGCUCCUUUGUAUGAUCAUUUACCUCCCAUGAGUAAGGUUGAGUAAAUAAAAUAAAAAAAUACUUGAAAAUUGAUCCAAAUCAAGGUGUUUAGACGGUUUAUGGAAUACAAAUUAAAAAAUCACAAUUAUUCGAAACCGAACCAAAUUCUAUUCUUUAUUUUAAUUUAUAAAUAAAUUUAUUUUUAUAAUAUAAAAAUAAAUAUUUUAUAUUUAAAAAUAGUGAAAAUAAAUAAAUAUAUUUUAAAAAUAUUAUAUAAAAGUAUUUAAUUAUUUUUAUCUACUUAAAAUAAUUUUAAAAAAUAUCUAUGAAAAAAACUUUGAAAAUUUGUCAAAUGAUAUUUAAAAGCCGUAAAAUAAAGUUUAUUUUAUUAAAAUAAUUAUAAAAAUUUAUAAUAACAAAAUCGAACUAAACUAAAUUAUAAUGGACGGAUAAAAAAAUAGAAUUGAAUUAAACUAAUAUCACUUGAUUUUAUUGCACCAAACUGGACAUAAAGGAUCUUCUUAAAAAAUUUAACCUGCAAUGAGAUUGUUUUCCUCACUAUAACCUUCUAGAGGUGUUAUAUAAGUACAUAUCAUAUGAUAAUUAUAAAUUUAAUUAUUUAAUUCUUAUAAAAAUUAAAUAUAUUACAAAUUAAUAUUUAUAUAAUGAUAUAUUAAAUACAUGUAAAUUUAUUAUCAUAAAUAUAUUUUUAAUUAUUAUUUGAUAUAAAUAAUUUUAUUAUAUUUUAUUAUUUUCAUUUAUAUAAAAUAUAGUCCUUGAAUGUUGAAGUCUAAACCCAACCCUUAAACAAAGGAAUUAAAUUUAAAGUUGAGAAAGAUAUGGAUGGUAGUAAUGGGAGCAUAAGCAUGUAGAAGCAAUGCUGGCAUUUCAUCUUAUUAGCAGCUUUGGAAUAGAUUCUUAAGGAUGAGUAGGAAUCUGUAUGCUUUUUUUUUAAUUUUUAUAUUUAAAACAUUAGUUAAUUGCUAAUGUGGCAUCCAUGUGUAUGCCAUGUAAGUUUAAGGACUAAAUUGAUUUUUUCAUAAAGUUAGAAGGUUAAAUAAAUCAUUUGCCAAAAUAUAAUAGAGAACUUAAAAAAAUGAAAAUAUUUAUAUUUUAUUUUAUAUUUGUUUAAGUUUGGCCUGGUCCAAAAUAUAUACUUAAAGUUUGUUCAAAUUUGUAAACCGUUAACUCAAACUCAUUUUAAAUCCACUCAUACUAUUUUUAAAAAAAAAUUAAAUGAAUUUAUAUUAUUUUUAACUUAAUAUUUAAUAAUUUUACAUUUUUAUUAAAAAUUUAUAUAUAGUCAUCUUAAGAUUAUAAUAGUAUUAUAAUUUUUAUUUUUAUUUGUUACAAAUUACAUAACAUAUAAAAUUAACAUAAUAUAAAAUAUUGCUAACUUAAAAAUUGGGUCGGGCCCAACUUAGGCUUUGAAUAUUCAAAUUCAAGCUCGACUCAUAUUUUAAAUGGGCCUAUUUUUUAAAUUUAAUAGUUUUAUCCAAAUCUUCCAAAAUUUCAAAUGAGCCUUUGAGCUUGACAAAGAACAGUAAGUCUCUUUCCCUUUUCUUUCCCUAUUAUUUUGGCUAAACAAUACAGUAAGAUCAGCUGAUGAAGAAUGCAUACAGAUCGACUCUUCAACAAAGAAAAAGAAAGAACAAAUGUGCAUAGAGAGGAGGAUUUCAUGGGAGCACAAUUCCAUGGACAGAUCAGCUGAUGAAGAAUGCAUGUCCUGCUUUUUGGCUCUUCCAUUGAACUCAUGCUGAAAAAGAAGUUGCUUAGUUACGAGGUUACAUUAGAUCAUUUGAAAUUAUGAGAUUAUUAUGAUUUUAAAAAUGUAAAGCAAUUAAGUAAUUACCACCUAUUUGCCUGCAUCUAAAUUCUUAAACAAAUGAGGGUAGAAAGUACGAUCUCUGCUUUUUGUAUUGCAUGCUAUGCUCUGCCGAAGAAUAGAGCCACAAGCUAACAAAAAUGAAGGGUAAAAAGAUUAAUGGAAACCUUGUAGUUUUCAAAGGUGAAUAAAUAAGGACAAUUAAGAUCGGUGUUAACAGUUUUUACUAAUAUUUUGAAAACAUUUGAAAACAUUUUAAAUAAGUUAAUAUAUAUAAUAUAAAAAAUCUAUAAAAAAUUUCAAAAUUCAAUUAUUGUAAUAUAAAACUUUCAUAUCUAAAAACCCUAAAUUAAAUUAAACUAUUUCAAUUGAAUCCAACAAACAAAUUAGACCGAAAACCAAUUAAUAUGAUUGGUUCGGCCACCUAUCUAGUUUUAAAAACCUUAACCAGCACAACAUCAGUAUGUGAAUUUAAUUUCGUAUUUAUUUAAUUUGGUUAGCACAUAUUAAUAGUUUUCAUAUUCUCUUUAGUUUUUGUAUAUUGGGAUUGUGUAAAUUUUAAAAUUUUAGAUAUUUUUAUGUCCAUAUUUUGUUUUAUAAAUAUAUAGGGGUAAGCUCUCACUAAUUUUCUCAAGCUUUUAGGAGUUCCUUCUAUUGAAGCAAUAUCAUGAGCGAAUCUAUAAUCAAUAUAUAUGAGAAAGAAAAAAAAUAUAAAAAAGUAAAAUAAAAAAUGAAAAUAGAUUUGGACACUUAUGGAUGUUAUCAAACUAUUGUCUAACUCGUGUUAUGAAAAAAAAAUCACAAUUAAAAGAAUAUUGUAUGCUUCAAUGAAAGUCACAAUUUAUCUUUGAUCAUGCUUGUUUGCAACUAAGUAGCUAUAAUGUAACUACAUGUUCCUACAAACCUCGCACUAGUCGACUUUGCCCUAUGAUCCAUUAGUCGAAUUUGUGAUGUCUAUAUUUUAAUAUGCGAGGUAUUUAAAGAAAUAGAUACAUCAAUUUAUUUUUGUAGUGGAUAAAUAUAAUUAUUUAUUUACACAAUAUAUAAACAUAAAAUGAUGCCCUAUUAAUAAUUUAUGAAAAUUAGAUCAAAUUAAAAUUUCAUGUAUAAAAUUAUAUGUUAUGCCAAAGUUUAUAUGUAGUUUUGAGAUUUAUCCCAUUUUCCUAUUAACUUAGCCAUUAGCCUGAGCAUUAAAUGUUCGCUCAAAUAUGAUAGGGGACAUACUUAAAACACAUGUGUCCAUGCUAUAUAGGCAACUUUAAUCUAAUUUGUUAAAAGAAGAAGAAGAAGUAAUCCUCUUAAAUUUUAUAAUCUCAGCGUGUUUUUAAUAUGUUAGAAUCAAGUUAUCAAUAUGAUGAGUACACAAGUAUUUACAAUUUAAUCCAUGUCAAAUGAGAACAGAAAUUUAAAAUCUAAAUUGAUAGCUACGAAAAUGAAAUGAUUUUAUUGUUAUAAUAUUAAUACUUUCAAAACUUAAUUAAAAUAUUUUAUAAUUUAUAAAUUAAUUUUAAAAAAAUUAAUUAAUAAAUUGAGAAUAUUUAAUACAAAUAACUUCUUAUAUGAAUAUAAAUAAUUAUAACACAUUUAUUAUUAAAUGAAAAUAAUGUUGUUUGGUUGGAAAUGGUCCCACCAUAUUUUACGUUUGGGGAACAAAGCGACGGUGUUUUGGUUGGAGAAGAAGGAAGUAACGUCGUUAAGUACAUCGUUUUGUUUAUCUUUAUUUUAAAUUUGUUUUCUCGUUUUCUAUUUGACGCCGCUAAUAUUCUUUUUUGAGUAAACUAUAUUAAAAGUCAUUCAACUAGUUAAAAAGUUACAAAAUGAUCACCAAAUUAUUAAUAAUUUCUUUUACCUAAUUAUGAAAAGUUAUAAAAUAAUAAAUUUUUAUUAUUAUUUAGCGCAUACGAGUAUUUGUUAUUUUUUUCUUUGAAUUUUUCAUUUAUUCAUUAAAUGAAUUAAUAAAUUUCUCUUUAAAAAAUUUACUCGGGGCAGAACAUAACAAGAGUCAAAGCUUCAGCUUGUAAUAUUGGCUUGUGCCAUGAUAGGCCUUUAUAAGGUGUUGUUCAACUUAUAAUUUGAUGUGUGCCAACAUAAGCAUCAACACACAAGUCAUGUAUAUACAGCCAAGACAUCGACAUCUUUUGGAAGAGUCCUAGUCCAAGCAUCAUAAUUGAACAUAGCCUUGGAAUACCGUCAAAAACAAUUAUUGUCUCAUAAUCAAUUGUGCAUCCCUGCAUUUGAAUACUAUUUGGAANNNNNNNNNNNNNNNNNNNNNNNNNNNNNNNNNNNNNNNNNNNNNNNNNNNNNNNNNNNNNNNNNNNNNNNNNNNNNNNNNNNNNNNNNNNNNNNNNNNNNNNNNNNNNNNNNNNNNNNNNNNNNNNNNNNNNNNNNNNNNNNNNNNNNNNNNNNNNNNNNNNNNNNNNNNNNNNNNNNNNNNNNNNNNNNNNNNNNNNNNNNNNNNNNNNNNNNNNNNNNNNNNNNNNNNNNNNNNNNNNNNNNNNNNNNNNNNNNNNNNNNNNNNNNNNNNNNNNNNNNNNNNNNNNNNNNNNNNNNNNNNNNNNNNNNNNNNNNNNNNNNNNNNNNNNNNNNNNNNNNNNNNNNNNNNNNNNNNNNNNNNNNNNNNNNNNNNNNNNNNNNNNNNNNNNNNNNNNNNNNNNNNNNNNNNNNNNNNNNNNNNNNNNNNNNNNNNNNNNNNNNNNNNNNNNNNNNNNNNNNNNNNNNNNNNNNNNNNNNNNNNNNNNNNNNNNNNNNNNNGCAGGCCCAUAUUUCUAAUUUUUUAUUUUUUAACUUUUUUGUACUAUUUUGAUAAAUAAAAAAAGUAAACUAUUUUGAUAUUUUUUUAAUUUUUUUGUAUUAUUUUAGUAAAAAUCCCGUGUUAUUCAGCUUGUAAUUUGAUUGUGCCAACAUAAGCAUCAACACACAAGUCAUGUAUAUACAGCCAGGACAUCGACAUCUUUUGGAAGAGUCCUAAUCCAAGCAUCAUAAUUGAACAUAGCCUUGGAAUACAGUCAAAAACAAUUAUUGUCUCAUAAUCGAUUGUGCAUCCCUGCAUUUGAACACUGUUUGGAACAUUAAAAUUGCGUUUUUUCCUGAGUUGGUACAUAUUAUGCAACAAGGAAAAUAAAGAACACAAUUAAGAUGUUUACGCAGUUUGAAACUCAUCCUACGUCUGCGGGGCUUUGCCCAAAUAUGACUCCACUAUGAACUUCAUAGUACAGAGAAAUGAUUCAAGCUUAACCUCUCAAACACUUGAUGCAAUCUCACUUUUGCACAAUUAAGUAAAUUAUUUCUCAACUCAUUUUAGCUAUGCAAGUGAAAAUUCACAUUCAACACUCAGAUGGUUUUCUUACUAUGAAUCAAGCACUUAAUAAGCUCCAUGUAAAGUGAAAUAAAUCAAGCACUUAAUAAGCUCCAUGUAAAGUGAAAUAAUAAAUUUUCAAAUGCAGUAUGUCUGGCAAUUGUCAUGCUUGAACAACGACUCUUCCAAAAGCAUCAAUGAACCUGAAAAUUAUAAAUGCCAACAUAGAAUAUGUUACAAAUCCCAUUAUUAUCAGCCUUAUAAUUGCACAUAUGUGUGUUUAGUAUAAUGUUGUUGAUAUAUAAAUAAUGAAACAUUUUAUCAACUUCAACCUCACCACCAAAUAUUCUGAAGCAUCUUCCUUUUUUUUCCUGUUUGGACCUUCAAUAGUAAAUUUGGCUGGAAUUCUAAAAAGAUAAAAGAGUGCCCUGCAUCAAUGAAUAUUAUGAAUUUGAAUACCUCCAAAAGCCUGUCAGUAUCACAGGUACCAUCUAAAAUAGUAAUCAGUUGGCAUAUAUUAAGAGAAAACAUAAAUAUAUAUAAAGAUAUGAUGGGUAAGUGCUUAAAUGAAGAAAGCAGAGCAUAUAGUACAACCAUUUUGAAGGCUUCAUAGGCCUCUCUCUCCACAUCAAUGAUUUUUUAGAAUUAAAUUAUUAGAAGCAAUUGUCAAGUUAUUAUUAUGAUUUAAAAGUAAAAAGCAAAUAGAUAAAUUAGCACUCUUUUUAUGCAUAUAAAAUGAUUGAAGUUGACUAAUGCCUUUCUCCAAUGCCUUACUGCACAAAUCAGCAAAAAUAUUAUGAAAGAUGAUAAGUAAAAAGUAGGAUGAAAACAAAGGGAUUUUAACAAGGAAAUUAACAGUAUCCAACUUCAAUGAAAAAUGGCAUCAGACCCCUCACUUGGAGAUUCAAUAUACCACUCAUAUUUUUCUUCAAAAAAAGAUAAGGUCAUCAAAAUAAAUAAAUAACAAGGACGGACCAACCUGAAUCAACUCAAUGUCGGGGAUGUGAGCAAUCUUAUGCCAAUCAGCGCCACUGUCCUUCCGACAUCUUUCCUCCAACUGAGGAAUUCUUUCCAUAAAUAACAUUUGCAAAUUGGUUAGGCAACGCAUCUCGUCUGGAAGAGAUGUUAAAUUGGGCAAAUUAACGAGAAAAAGCCGUUGCAGAUUUGUUAGAUGUUGAAGCCACUCCGGAAGAUGCCGACACUUUGGAAUAUUUUGCAGCUGUAGAAAGCGUAGGCUUGUAUGAUCUUGGAAUAUUUGGAUGCCAGCCCCAGAUAACUCCAGCUCCUUGCAGUCCAUUACUAAAAAGUCUUCAAGGGAAGUGAGAUGUUGGAACACAGGAAGCAGUGACCUCAAUCCAUUGCAGUUAUGAAUUUUUAAUGUUUUCAAUUGAACAAGAUGUUGAAGCCCAAUGGGGAGAGACACCAGCUUUGGAAUAUUAUCAAUCUCCAAAUGAGAGAGAUUCUUAAGGGGUUCCCAUUGCAUGCCCUCUAAAUCAACCUCCUUGCAAUCUUCUAUUGUUAAUCUUUUGAGGCUGGUGAGAUGUUGCAGGCAUUCAUCUAGCGUGUGAGUGUCCAACCCCUCAAUCUUGUGUACAUCGAAAGAUUUCAAUUUGGAGAGUGGAAGAGAAGAGGUUGAAGUUAAUGGGGCCUUAGCAUUGAUGUUCAUCUUGAUAGUCUGCUUUAACGGCCUUGAACUGGUAUUCGACAACAUUAGAUCUUCAUCGAGUGAUGGAUACAGCGGCAUUGAUGUCAAAGGGCAAUUUUCAAUUGUUAA